AUUUGUGAUCUAAAAAUAAUUAAAUAUACUUCAAGUUAUAUAUUUCUCCAUAUUAUUAAUUAAUCAUAAUGACUCGUGAGGAGCUGCUCUCGAGAAAGGCGUCGCGUAAUUGUCACGGCCAAGACUCCUCGUACUUCUUAGGGUGGCAAGAAUACGAGAAGAACCCUUACCACCCUACCACCAACCCUGCUGGGAUCAUCCAAAUGGGUCUUGCUGAGAACCAGGUUGAUUACUAAUUAAUGAGUUCAUAAUCGAUCGUUUCUUUAAUUUCUUGUAUAUGUAUUUUAAUGCGACGUACGUAGUAAGUAAUGUUAAUGAUCGAUCACCUGUAUGUAUGUAUAUCUUGCGUUGUGGUCCAGCUUUCCUUUGAUCUCGUCGAGUCCUGGCUCGAGGGACACCCCGACGCCGGCGAGCUCAAGAGGGACGGCGUCUCCGUCUUCCGAGAGCUCGCGCUCUUCCAGGAUUAUCAUGGCCUACCUGCAUUCAAGAAUGUAUGUAUAUAUAUGCACCUUCCAUCUCCUGAAUAUGUGCACAUUUGUAUACAAAUGUUAAAGAUGCACGUAGAUGUCGGCAACUCAAUUGAAUGUACGUUAAUUGCAGGCUCUGGCGCAGCUCAUGGAAGAGAUAAGAGGAAACGAAGUAAGAUUCGACCCUGCUAAGCUUGUCCUCACCGCAGGCGCUACUUCCGCCAACGAGAUCCUUAUGUUUUGCCUCGCUGAACCCGGCGAAGCAUUCCUCGUGCCAACCCCAUACUAUCCAGGGCACGUACUUAUCCAUUAUCACUUGCGAUCAUUCUCCUUGUUUUUUUUUUUUAAAAAAAAAAAAUUUCCUUGUUUCCUUUGUCCACAUGACAAAAUAUAUAUGUAAAUGCCUCUAAUACAUGAAAAUCGUUAACAUCAUACAUCGAUCGUUGCAGUUUCGAUAGGGAUCUCAAAUGGCGAACGGGAGUGGAGAUCGUCCCGAUACGCUGCUCAAGCUCAAAUGGCUUUAAAAUCACGAAAAUGGCCCUCAACGCCGCUUAUCGACGGGCCCAAAAGCAUGAUCUUCGGGUGAAGGGAGUCUUAGUAACCAACCCUUCGAACCCGUUGGGCACAACCAUGAGCUACGACGAGAUCGACACCCUGCUUGAUUUUGUUGCAUCCAAAGAUAUCCACCUCAUCAGUGACGAGAUUUAUUCCGGGACCAACUUUGGUUCUCCGCCAUUCAUUAGCAUGGCGCAGGCGGUAUCAGGUCGAGCCAACAUCCUGGCCCGCGUCCACAUUGUGGUCAGUCUCUCCAAAGACCUCGGCCUCCCUGGGUUUCGUGUUGGCGCGAUCCACUCCAACAAUGAAUCGGUGGUGUCCGCAGCCACGAAAAUGUCGAGCUUCGGUCUCAUCUCCUCGCAAACUCAAUACCUCCUCUCUCAACUUCUCUCCGACAAAGCAUUCACUGCGAACUACAUAAGAGAGAACACGAAAAGGCUCAAACGGCGGCAUUCGCUGCUCGUCAAAGGGCUAGAAAGCAUCGGAAUCAGUUGUCUAAAGAGCAACUCAGGGUUAUUUUGUUGGGUGGACAUGCGGCAUUUGCUUAACUCUAGCACAUUCGAGGGAGAAAUGGAGACGUGGAAGAAGAUAGUGUAUGAUGUGGGGUUAAACAUCUCUCCAGGCUCGUCGUGCCACUGCGACGAGCCCGGGUGGUUCCGCAUGUGCUUUGCUAACAUGUCGGAGGAGACGCUCCACGUCGCCAUGAAGAGGUUGAAGGAAUUUGUCGCAGAGGGGAAUGGUAACGGCGGAAAUAGCUGUGGCAGAAGCAGAAGCAAAAGCGAAACCAAAAUGACGAAGUGGGUGCUUCAAUCAUCAAAUGCUGAUGCUACUAAUGGCAAAUCUGAGAGAUUUAUUAUGUGUGUAAAUGCAUGAAGAAGCUUUACGUAACGUUUUUUUUUCCUUUUUCGGUUUGAUUUGUUUGAGCAAUAUUUGUUUUUUUUUGUUUUUUGUUUUGUUUUGUUUUGUUUUGUUUUUUUUUUUUUUCAACUUGGAGUUAGCAUAUCCACUCACUUUGUGGAUGAGUACCCAAGGAUUUCGUGUUGCAUGCAAAUUCCUACGUUUUUUGGCUGAGAAUUUAAGUUCCGGAUGUUUUGUCAAAAUAUUUAUUCAGUCAUUGUCUAAAGUCAAAAACACUGUGGUCACCUUCCUUCCUUAUGGUACCGUUUGGUUCGGGUAUAAGCAAGAACUAGCUAUUACAGGGAUAGGUACAAAUAUGGGGAUAAGAAAAAUAGCGUUUGGAUGAAAAUUAGGUUGUUCCCGAGGAUAAGAAAAAUAUUAGAAAGUUUUAUAUAGAAAAUAGAGGUGUUGGUGGGGAUAACCGAGAACUACUAUUCUCGGGUAAAAAAUUAGCGUUUGGGUAUAAAGGGGGGAUAAGGGCCUAUCCCUAUCCCUAUUCCCAAAUAAAAUGUUUUAUUCAAACCAAAUAAAAUAAACUAGCUUUAACGCGGCUACACAUUCAAUGCUAAAUUUUAUAAACAUUUUGGGACUUUCAUACUAAAAAAAAAAAGAGUUGACAAAAUAAGAGAGCAAUAUGGGCUUUGAAACGGAGUGUAAGAUUCACACCUUAUUUUAUAAUAUACACUAUAAUAAAUUUUAUAUUUAAGGAUACUUUAAAUAAUAACUAGCGACGCUUUAAAGCGUCAGCAAGAAUAACCCGAUACUUUAAUAUAGAGUCGAAAAUUUUUUAUUAGCAUUUGAUAAAAAUAUAUUUAUUGGCGAAGUUUAAUUAUGAUGUCAGUAUAUAUUAAAUAUUAAAGACGUUAGAAUAAAGUGUCGUUUAAAAAAUAUCAUCUAAAAUAUAUUUUAUUGAAGUGACAGAUAGCAUUGCUUAUUUUAUAAUAAUCUUUUAACCAACAAAAUGAAAUUAAACUACUCUAAGGUACGUAUUACACUCAAUAAUUAUUUAUUUGAGACCUAACAAAAUCAUUCAACAUAAUUAUCACUAAAGAAUAUGUAAGUGCAUGAAGUGACUUGUUAGUUCUUUUCCCAACAACUAAAGCAUAUCUUUCAACUUGCUUCUUCAACUCUUUAUAAUGCAUUGACACUUGUUAAAAGCAAAAGAUAUUUUGACUGCUUAAUAAGUGUUUACCCAAUCACAAAUUGUAUCCAUUUAAGUCACCCUCGGAAGGCACUACAUUAUUCGAAUAAUUAUAAUUAAGAACCUCACUUCAUGUUAAUUGGAUCUUUAUUUAUUUACAAUUUAUUAGGGACAAGAUUUGACACGUGCCAAACUUUUGGUUCAAGUGAAACCAACGGUUCCAAAUUUGACAUGACUGCAAAAUUGGUGCCAAUUACGGCGCAUGCUUAAUUUAUUCCUUAUCAUGUAUAAGCAUGGCAGGGGAUCAUCAUCUCACACGUGUCUUGCGCACUUCCACUUUUGUUAGCUCAUCAAUAGGACAAUUUUGCUCGGUCAUUGGAUAAUCAUCCUAGCUUAUUAUUAGUUUAGGCCAAUUUGCACUACUGAUUUAGCAUUUUUGCAAAUAUAUACUAUUUGUUAAUUUUUAGGGAUUCUGUCUAAAUUUCUAGUAAACUGAUCAAAUUGCUCUUAUUCUUUCUUCUCUCUCUUUUCUUUUUCUCGGCGUCUCCCUCCACCUCCUUUGCCACUCUUUUCUCUCUUUCUUUUCCCGCUUCCUCACUCUCGAUACCUAUCGACAACGGUGCAAUUUCAGAAUGAUGUCAAUGCGAUGCAUCAAUCCCUUCUUUCUCUUUUACGCCACUCCCGCUGAUACCUACCGCCUCCGGAAGCGAGGUGCCGGUCUUUCCGUUCCUCGGCUUUGGCAUGCACGACCUCCCCGGCGUCAUUGCUCAUCCUCCAUCGUGGAGCAAGGAGGUGCAUGCGCGUUCGACGACCUCAACCUUACCCGCGACACCAGAGAGACGACCUAUUUGACGAUGAUGACGAUGAUGACGAUGAUGACUAAGUUACACCGUUUGAAACUAAAUUAUACUAUUUGAGAUUAAGUUGUGCAAUUAAAAUUUAUUUGAGACUAAGUUGUACUAUUUAAUACUUAGCUGUGCGAUUUGAAAUGUUGCACAAAUAGUGCAAUUUUGUAUCAACAAAUGUACUUAAUUAGUUUGAAAUAGUAAAAUUUAGUCUUAAAUUAAUAGUGUAACUAUUUUUUUCUUCUCUUUUUGGAAUUGUACUGCUAGUAUUUUUCUAAUCAAUUUCAUCCUUUAUUUUACUACUCUCCUAAUUUUUCUAAUUAAUUAACAAUAUUUCAAUUGAGAGGAAGAUGGCUAUAAUAAAUUGAAAGAAUAUGCAACAUGCUGCUCAUUAACUCUAUUUGAUUACUUUUUAUUAAUGGUAUCUUUUUAAGUAAUGGUAGACUAACAUUUUUUUUUUUUAAACCACUUCAUUCUUUUUUUUUUCAUAAAUAAAUUUAGCUAAAAAUAUGAAGUAAUUGGGCUUUGAGUUUGGGAUCUCAAAUAUUAACCACUCAGUCCUUCGUCACUUACACUUGGGAUGGUCUGUUACCAACCAUUUCACAGUCUCACUCGCACUAGAGUUUGACUUGUCUACUAUUAAUAGCAUGGACCGAGGUCUCCGUAUUACCAAAUUAUUUUUAAUGAUAGAACGUACGAAUCGACGAUCGGCUCUAUUACACAUGAUUUACACUAUUAAAAGUAUUUAGAAAUUAAAUUUUCAUAUCUUUCGACAUUAAUUUGAUUAAUGAUUUAAAGAUAUGAAAAUCGACAAUUUUAAUAGUUAAUGUAAUGCAUGUGUAAAUUUAAUGAUGUAGAACAAUCCAAAUGCAAUAAAAUUUUGAUAAUUUUUUUUUACUAAUCAAAAAAAGAUUAGUACCUUCAAUUUGAAAUUUAAAUAUUUUUUUAAUAUUUUUAAUGAGAUUUUUAUUUUACCUGUUUAUUUUGAGACUAUUCAUUCUAUAUAUAAAUGAUAUUGAAAAAUAAUAAAUAUUAUUUUUUAGAUACUUCUAAUGGUGUAGAUUAUUUUCAAUAGAACCUACUGUCGAUUCAAAUGUCCCAUCAUCAAAAAUAAUUUAUAGCACAAAGGCCUUCGUCUAGUAUACUACCCGGAUUCCAAUAUUAUAUAAGUUUUUUUUUUUUUUUAAGAGAUAGGUAGCACGUUACCCGCUUCUUUUAUUUCAUUUUAGAAAUAAACUUAGCUAAAAAUAUGAAUCAACUAGGAUUCGAACUUGGGACCUUGGGUACCAAUCAGCAAGUUUUUCAUUUUAGAAAUAAACUUAGCUAGAAAUGUGAAUCAAUUAGGAUUCGAACUUGGGAUCUUGGGUACCAACCGGCAAGUAUUUCAUUUUAGAAAUAAACUUAGCUAGAAAUGUGAAUCAAUUAUGAUUCGAACUUAAGAUCUUAGGUACCAACCACCAAGCCCUUUGCCACUUGCUCUAGGAACGGCUAGUUCCAACUUAUUAAGUUAUUUUCUAGUUUUGUGAUAUCUAACAUGUCAGCCAAAAAUGAACAAUUAAAAUAAAAACUAAAAUCCUGUCCAUUUACUCGGGUUGUUUGCUGGUGUGUUAGUAAAGUAAAAUACAGAGCAUUUUCCUAAGGUGGCAGAGAAGUUGGAAGAUUAUUUUCUUAACUAAAACAAUUAAAAUGAGUUGCAAAGCAGUAAGUGUCUACUGAUCAUUGCUUCUUUAUGAUCCAAACAAACUUCCCAUAGAAGAAAUAUGCUCAGGGAUGCAGAUGGAUUUGGGGUGAUGAAUCUUCCCCCUUGAUCAGCCUCAAAUAGGGUGAUAAAUUAGGCAAAAAUAAAUAGAUAAAUAAAACAAUAAUUUGUCUCAAUUCACUUAAGGGUGUGUUUGGUUUAGGUAUAAGGAGGGAAUAAGUCUUUAUUCCCCUCUUUAACACUAUUUUUGUGCUAAAAAAAUUUUGUUCUCCAUGAUUAGGUAAAAAAAAGAGAAUAAGAGUGGAACUACUAUAUAUAAGAUAUAAUAGGGCUAAAACUCUUAACUCAGCUUAACUAUUUUGGGUGGUGGCUAAGCUUAAGUAGUUAAGAGAGUUAAACGUGUUAGGACGGGAGUAGUCCUAGCAUAGGCGAUCCCCUAGGAAGUUGGGGCGUCACAGUUGGUAUUAGAGCAAAUUACCAGCCGAAAGUGUGAGAUGAGUUUUGACUGAGUCAGGAUUAUACAGCGGGGAAAACGAUGCUCUCAUACUAUUAACUGUUGUGCGUGAAACGCAACUCACCAAAAGAUCAGUUUAAGCUAACAAGACGAGUCUCACAUCAUCUGAUACUUGUAACUCUGAGUCUGACGAGGACUCCAGGACUUAUGGGGGGAGAAUGUGAAGCUCCAUGUAGUUAUAUAUAUAAGAUGUAAUAAGGUUAAAACUCUUAACCCAGCUUAAGCAUUUUGGGUGGUAGUUAGGCCUAAAAUGUUAAGAGAGUUAAACGUGCUAGAACGGGAGUAGUCCUAGAAUGGGUAGCCCCCUGAAAAAUUGGAGCGUUACAAAUUUAGUCUCAAAUAGUUUUAAAUGGUGCAACUCUGUCUCAAACAAUGUAACUUUUUCUUCUUUUUUCUCUACCUUUUACUUUUUCUAUUACGAUCACGACACACGAUGGCCUUCCCAAAGAAAGAAAAAAUAUUUUUUUCUUUAUUUUUAAAUUCUUUGUUCUCUUCCACCCUUUGUAUUCUUUUUUGCUACUGCGUCCCUUUCCUUGCGUUUUGUCGUAGCAACCGUUCCUGCCCCGAUGCGCUUUCCCUCUCUAUUAUCCUCAAAUCCUACAACACCCUCGUCGUUGUCACCGUCGCCGUCUACGCCACGCCCUCUGUCUACCUCACCUCCACGAUUUGUACUAUAUCCGAGCCCACGUCAUCACCAUCAGAGUCAGAAGAGGUGUGGGCGAGAUAGGAAAAAGAAGCACAGUGUCAAUGUGGGGCCGGUGGAAGAAAAGGAGGAUGGAGAGGGCGGGAAAGGAAAAAGAGAGGAAGGGACGGUGAGGGGGAGAAAAACAAAGUGAAAGGAGAACGACGAGCUAGAAAGAAAGUGAAAUAAGAAUAUUUUGAACAAUUUACUGAAUUUUCAGACUUAAUCUAUAAAAUAAAAAAAAUAUACUAUUUUUAUAAAAAAUGCAAAACCGGAUUUAUUAUGCAAGUUGGCCAUCAUAUAUUUCUUCGUUAUUUAUUUAACAAUAUGACACUGAUAUUAAUUAACAAAUGCUAUUAAUUAGCCAAUGCCAAAUUGCUAUUAGAAUAUUAUUUUUCUAUUUUGACCUUUCAAAGAAGCUGGAUAUAAGGAUGCUUUUCCUUGAUUGAGAGUACAAUUCUGAACCAAUUAAAAAAAAAGAAAAAAGAUGGAUUGCCAUGUAUAACAAAACAUAAAUUCCCCUUUUAAGCAAAAAGCACAUUUAUAACUCUUAAAACUAGAUUUUAUUGGAUAGAUACUCCCAGGCCUACCACAUUAUAUAUACCCUAAUGUUUUGGGGCAAAAUGUGGACUCCAACAUGACCAAGGGAAUCUUCUAAUUAAUUUCAUGCUUUUCACUUUAGAUCUACUUUCUAAUCACUACAUAUAUACUAGACCAAGCUUGAGUCUUAAUCAUUUCCUCUCUAAGGAACACAUUUUUCUUAGAUUAAGGAUAUCAUACCUCAGAUGAUUGUGGCCACGGCAGAGUCGAGAGAACGGCGGAAUCAGUUCCGGUAGUCGGCGGUGGCUUGCCCUGCCGCCGCAGGCCGCCGUCGACGGUACUUUACAGGCCUCAUGAGUUAUUUUAUGCAGCUGAGCAGUCAUUUUCAAUGAAGAGUUCGCUUCCUUAUCAAGCGUUUGCUUGCAGUUUGUAGAACGCAUUUUUCCUCUGCUCUGUAUGCCUCUCUUUUGUAGUAGAGCUUGUAGUAUCUUUAGCACUACUUUUUACACAUAAAAGAAAAUAUGGUAACAUCUCGCAGAUCAGUCUAGAUCACAUAACAAUUACACAUAUGUACGACCAGUACGUAGGUGAAUAUUCUCUCAGAAUAGGGAUUAAUUAUUGACGUUAUAAAAGCUUAAUUAUAAAGUGAAAACGUAUAGAACUUAUUUGAACGCAUAGAACUUAUUUGAACGUUAGACCGUUUUGAGUCCACUACUUAGUUUUACUGAAUUUAUAUUUACAAUUGCAUGAAGUAUAGUAAUUAAUCUGUAAAAAUAAACGUUUGCAUUCAAAAUUUAAAAUCAGAGUGUCGUUCAAUGACUCAAAUCAGAUAAAUUGAAUGAUUGGAUAGCAAAAUUAAAAUUUUGAAAGAUUGAUUAGUCGAUUUAAAAUGGUGCAUAAUUUAGACCUAGUUAUAAAAAAUGCUCCUGCACUUUACCCCAUGUCUCAACUACUUUUCUGCCUAAAAAAUUUAAACAAUGUCAACCCUCUAUUUUAGUUCUAUCUCAAACAGAUCCUUUCGUUAAGAAUUUUCAUUAAUUUUAACGGUGACAUGUUAAGAUAGCAUAUUUUUAAGCCAUUUAAGCUUCUUCAAGCACAUCGUCGAGCAUCAAAAUCUAAGAGAAAUCCUGGAAAUGCACACGCGUACGAGAAAUUCGACAUUUUAAUGUCAAAUGAUCUUGCCACGUCAUUACUGUUAAUACUUUCAUCAAAGGUUAACAACAUUUCCAAAUUAUUGGACCUAUCACCUAUUUGACACAAAAUUAAUUAUUACACGUGCCUCGAAAUUUGAUUAUCAAGUUCGAUUUUAUGCUCGGAUUCGCCGAAAGUUUUGCGGUGUGAUAAAUUUCGAAAAACAAUUUGUAAAUGAAAAAGAGGAUGUUUGUAGUGAGAGGGAAUGUCUUUGGAUUGGAUCGGAUUUUGAAGAUAACCCGUUAAUAGUUUUUCUUUAAAAUCCUUAUGUUCUAUCUUUUUUUUACUAUUUUAUGAUUUGUUUACUUUGCGACCGUCAUUUUUUAUUUUUAUUUGUGCGCUCGUUGUAAUGCUAAUAUAUGCGGUUGAUAGUAUUUAAAUUUUUACCCAAAAAAAUAUUUGAAACAUAAGGUAAAGUAGGUACAUGAGGACUUUUUUUUGUAAGUAAACCAAAUAGAAANAUAUAUAUCAAAGUGGGAUUUGAUUGGAUUGAUCCGAAGUUAUCUGUACUUUUAGUUUUAAGAGAGAAAAAUAGUAUGUUAUCUAUUUCGUUUAUAUAGAAUGUUGAUAGGGACCAUUCUGAAGUUGUCUAUGUUGAUUAGAUCUUUUGAUUUUUUUUUUUUUAAAUUUUUCAUGGAUUAAUCUAAUCCGAAGAUCACUCCCAAAACCAGGAUAAUUAAUCCUAGGCUCAACGAAAUGCAUGCCGAUGAGUCCAUAAGCAAAAGUGCCUAUUAUUUAUGACUCAUAAUCAGAAUUUUUUAAUUUGAAGUUUUUAAUUUUAUUUUUAAAACAAAAUAUUAGCUUGAAAAAAAAAAAAGGUUAAUUAAUAUAAUUUUCUGUAAUAACGUCUAACCGCACUAUAGUUGGAGCACUACUUUAUUGAGGAGUUCAUCAGCAAAAUCUUGUUGGGAAAGUAUGUUGAGCCGUUCGAUUCACUCAGUGCUCAACGCUUAAUAUUCUAUUCAAAUCUAAAAGUUUUUCUUUUGAAUCUUAAUAUCAUAUUAGAUGGUGAAUUUAGAAGAGCUCGCUAAAAAUUUCUCAUAUUUUAAAAAAAUUAAGCGUAGACAAAUCAUACGGUUCACCAGACUGUUUUAAUGAUCGAUAUUUCGUUAAAGAUCUCCUCGAGGAAGCUGAAGUUGCUCUUAAUUCGCUCUUCGUCAUGCUCUCCCUGUAGUUGUGACAGAAAGGUCGAAGAAUACGAGCACAUGCGGUGGCCAAUGCCGACCAGCUCCUACGGCGAAAGAUUUCGACUGAAAGUCGACCUGAAAGAGAUGCAGCAGCAGAGUGCACUAGAAACGGUGGCGGCUGAAAUGGAGACUAAACAAAUUUACAGCAGGAGCGCAGGUUAACUUGCCCUUUUGCCAAAAUGGUGUAUUUAUGAGGGGGAGCCCAUACAACUAUUACUAGGUUUACUAUGUCAGUAUCUACUGUAAAUGCUUGUCUAUAGAUCGCAAAGUGGAUUCUGGGAGUGUUGGUCUAAUGUGGAAGUGGAUGACGGGGUCAGGGUAUCAUCGAAUUAUUCGACUAAAACACCAAUCCACUUUAGCUUAGGAGGGAACAGUCGUUUGGAUUCUGCAAAUGAACUCAAUUAUCGCUUUACUUAAAGUCGAUUAGGCCCAUCCAGCCUAAUUAACCCAUUUGGUAAUUUGGAGGUUGUGGAAUCAAUCAACCCGUAGAAACAGUCCAUGGGCGCCCUAAUCACUUUUCAGGCUAAGCUCAAAUUUAAGUGGGCUUGGGCCAAACCACAUUUUGUAGGAUUUUUUUAAAAUUAUUUUUUCAAUUUUGGAAAAUUUUUUUUCAAAUUUAAACUUUUAGUAACCUUUAUUACCAGCCCCUUAACCUUUAUUACCAGCUUCUCAAGUAAAAUUAGUUUUGAUUGAUACAUCUUAUAUCAACUAAAUUAAAGGUUUUGCUAAAUUCAAUUGUAAUUUUGUUAAAAUUUAUUUGUUCUAGAUACCUUUCAAGCUGGUGGAGUUGUGUGUGUGUAUAUAUUUAUUUGUAUCUAAAAAUCAAAUUUUAUGUUUUUUUGAUAUUGUUCUCUUGUCCAUCAAGUGGACACAAAAAUGAACGGCUGAAAUUGAACAUCCUUUAAAAAGUGAUGAUAGAAAUCUUGUAAUCAAAAUCAAGAGUAUAUAUAUCUUAUUUUUAAAUAGCUAAAGAAUUUUCUAACCAAAAUUCAAUUGAUUUAGAUAGUUUUUACGCCGUUAAACGAUAAACGCUUCAUAUGGCUAUUAAAAUUAUAAAUUUUGAAACCCUUUAAUUAUUGAGUCAAUGCUGUUGAAAAAAAUUAAAAUUUAGUUUUUAAAUCUUCAAUUGGUAUAGAUUAUAUUCAACCGUGCUGAUUGUUAAUUUGGAGACUUUUAUAAUCGAAAAUAAAUAGGCGGCAAUGGAGUCCGUUUGCUACUGAUAACAUACCAGCUCAGCUCUUUCUCUCUCUAUAUAUAUAUAGCAAAUGAGGACCAUUAAUUAAUAUGAAUGGACUAUCAAAUUAGCUUAGGAAAUUAAGCUAAAUCAAAUGGUGAUAUUUUAGUUGGAUUUAUAAAAUAUUACCACUGCUACAAUAAUUUUUUUCCCCCAACCAAACACUUAAAUGGCUACUGGCUUGACUUAAUUAUAACUUGGUUGACUAGCCGUUGUUUGGUACAGCAACCACAAUAUUCCAAUUGGAACGAUAAAAAAUGAUUGGUAACAGAGAUUGGAUGGUUGGCCACCACAUGAUCCAGUGAGAUUUCAUGAUUAGGUUGUAAGAUCCCAUCCAUAAAUACAUAUAUAGUUUAUGUUUGUAAGGGCUAAUAUAAAGGAGACAAAAGCUAGAUGUAUAAAAAUAAGGGUAAACUUCAAAUACCCCCUAUGGUUUCACACUUUCUUACUUUAGUAUUUUAUGGUUUAAAGUGUAUCAUAUUAGCCCCUAUGGUUCCGUACUUUCUCACUUUAGUAUCAUAUAGUUUAAAGUGUAUAAAGCUAGUACCCUGUGGUUUUAUUUUUCUCUUUUUAUUAUCUAUUUUACUAAUUUUUCUCGUUAAAUCAAUGGCAAAGUUAAAAUUAAAAGGUACUAAAGUGAAUAUUCGAUAAACCUAAGUAAGAUAUCUAAAGUUUUUUGUAUAUAAUUUAACAAAAUAUUAACGGAAGAAAAAAAAAAUCAGUGAUAAAGUUAAAAUGAAAGGACACUAAAGUAAAUAUUUGAUAAAUGUAGAUAGGAUAUCUAAAGUUUUUUGUAUAUAAUUUAAUGAAAUAUUAAGAGAGGAGCCGACGAAAAAAAAAAAAAAGAAACCAUAGAGUAGUAAAUUGAUGCACUUUAAAUCACAUGGUACUAAAGUGAGUAAGUGCGAAACCACAAGAUAGUAAAUUGAUACACUUUAAACCACAGAAUACCAAAAUAAAAAAGUGUGAAACCCAAGUUGUAAAGAGCUUGGUGGUUGGUACCCGAGACCCAAGUUCGAAUCCUAGUUGAUUCACAUUUCUAGCUAAGUUUAUUUCUAAAUGAAAUAAACGAAUCAGAUAGCGUGCUACCUAUCUCUCAAAAAAAAGUGUGAAACUAUAUGGAUGGUAUUUAAAGUUUUUUCUAAAAAUAAAGAUGCAAGCCUCCUAUAAUUUCCUGGGGUUGUAGACAAAUAUCUGUUUUUUUUUUGAGAGAGAGAAAACAAAUAUCUGUUUUGUCCCUUUCUUAGAUAGGAAGAGAAAGAGAACUUGAAAAUGUAUAUGUUAGUGAUGUUUGCACCUUCAUCAUUCCUUCCAACCAUUUGUCUUAAUUUAUUUGAGGAGAUAUAUCAUAUCAGUUGCAUCAGCAAGCAAAUUCAAAACACUCUCUCUCUCUCUCUCUCUCUCUUAAGGGGAAAUAAGGUCAAUUUUCUCUCUCUCUCUCUUUUAAGGGGAAAUAAGGUCAAUUUUGUCUCCAACAUGGUCAAAUAAGGAAGCUUUGAAGGUGCAUGAUGUGAUAAAGACCAAGGCCACGUUGAGAGAGAAAAAGCACAAUGACGAAAAUAGAGAGAUACAUAAAGAAUUAAUUUUUCGACAAAGAUGAAAAUGCUUUUUUAAACAACUCUCAAAACUUUUUAUAUUAACCGAACGCGGCGUCUGUAUAAAAGCAAAACACAAAUCCAAUUGUAAAUCGAAUCCCAAAAUUUUAGCAAUUUUUGUCAAUACAAAAUAUACCAUAUCCUAAUUUAAAACUUCUAAAACCGUAUUCCUAAUUUCUAAAAAUUUAUUUCUCAUAGUAAAAACCUUAAAAAUCUAAAAUAUCACUAAAACAAAAUGAUCAAAAAUCAAAAUCCGAGAAUUUAAAAAAGAAUUAAUCCUAACUAUUUAUUUUGAUUGCGUGAUCUAUGUUGAAAGAGAUGGGUAGAGGAGUUCACAGGGGCUUUAUUUACUUCUUUUGCUGCAGAAAAAGCACAAGCUGGAAUACAAUAGUUAAGCACAAGAGAGUAUUUGGAAGCACAUGUAAAUGAGACAAGAACACCAUGUGAAGAAGCAAAGACACAGCUGGCGCUCUUCCGGAUGUUUUUUUUUUUUUUUUUUGACUAAAUUAUAAAAAAAAUUUCGAUCAAUACUUACUUUUUUAUUUUUUUCCUCUAUCAUUUAAAAAAUUAUAUUUUAUUCUUUUAAAAAAUAAAAAAUAUUCGUAAGGAGAUAUGCUGUGAUAAAUAAUCAAAUUACUCGUAUUUUUCGGGAUGGACGUGGACGAAAAGGUGGGUGAGGGCGAGACAACGGAGGGCGUGUGUGUAGGCAUGGACAAAGAGGUGGGCGAGAGUGAGGCGGCGGAGAGUGAGGCUGCACGGCCAAGGGUGAGGCAGCGCUGCGAGGAUGAGGAAUAAGGAGAGUUUUAGAAAUAUUUUGAGUAUAAAAAAAAUAUAUAAACGGAAUCCUAACGAAAUAUUGACGGCUGGAUCAAAGUGGAUAUUUUUUUUUUUUUAACAAAGUAAAGUGUAGAUUUUUGAAUGACAUUGGAUAAAAUAAAAAAAUAGUUAUUAGCGAAAGAUUUUUUUUUUGUAAUUUAUCUUUUUUUUUUUCUUCUUUCCUUUUUUUUUUCUGGGGUCUCUGAAAUUAAUUUCAUUUUGCGAGAGAGAGAGAGAGAGAGAGAGAGAGAGAGAGAGAGCAUCCAUGUAGGAUUGCAGGUUUGGAUGACCACUAUUUAUCUAAUCUUUUGUGAGAAAUAGUACAUGAUUCACGUGGUUGGAACAAAUCCAGCAAGCUAUAAAUUAACAUAUUUGUUGAAACCUACUCAAUUUAAAAGUUAAAGUACGAAGGCUCUAGGCCAUGUUGUAAUGUUGGGUUAAUUUUGUACCGGCUUUCCGUAAACAUAUCCCAUGACAAAUAUUGUACCGGCUUUCCGUAAACAUAUCCCAUGACAAAUAAAAAUAAUAGAAAAUAAGUAAAAUAAUAUUUUUGUCAACUGCUAGAAUUAUAUAGAAAUAUUCCCGCUAGCAAUAAUAAUUCAAUGGGCCCAAACAACCGACCUAUAAUACUUAAACCCAAUUAUUAUUACUAGCGUGCAAGGCCUCAUAUAAACUAAUCGGAAUCAAUAUCCCAUUCGAUGUGGGAUUAUUGGAGGCAUUACAAACUCUCCCUAUUUAGACAGACAGAUCAAAAUCAGAAUUACCAGGCGAUGUGAGAUUCUAGAAAUGAUUCCUAUGGGUUCAAGAGGUGGCUCCCACCAAACCCAUUGGUGUAGCACUUUGUCCCGCAUAAUACUUAGCUCUCACAUUUCCGGCUGAUAUUCGGCUCUGAUACCAAAUAUAACGAUCCGACCCGCUAGCAACAAUAAAUCGUUAGGCCCAAACAACCAGACCAAAAUACAUAAGCCUAAUUAUUAUUACAAGCAUGUAGACCUCAUAUAAACGGAUCGGAAUCAGUAUCGCAUCCGAAGUGGGGCUAUUGGAGCAUUACAAAUAAUAUAAAAAGACUAAAAAGAUUAAUUUAUCUCAUUUACUUAUUAGGAUUAAAUAUUUUAUCUAUAAUUAAUCAUAUUUUUCUAGCGAAUCCUAAUAGCGAGUAUAUUUAAAUAUGAAAAAUUAAACUUUGUAAGAAUAUAUUUGCUAUUCGAUAUGUUUACAUAGAGCUGUGUGUUUACUAGUUAGACAUUUCCGCUUCUUGAACUGAUCUCGGCUCUCCAAACAUUGUAGCAUCGAAAAUCAUCAUUUAUGACUGUUCUUUGAUACACACUAUGUAUAUAAGUUCUUAAUCAGCCACUGCAAAUCGACUUAUCUAACUCGUGUGUCAAACUUGCACCUCCUUUCCCUAAUUAACCUCUAUAAUAUCCAUGUUGCCAGAAUAAUCCUCUAUGAAUCCAUUAUAUUCACAAAAGCUACACAAUUAAUCGCACUAGACCAAUCAGAAGCAUAACUCACGAUCUUGAAACCAAUUAUUGGAAACAACGACCUAAUCGAACUCACAUGAACCAUUAGAUGAAAAAUUAUAGGGUUAGAAUGAUAGUAAUCUCGGUUUGGUGGGUGGUUAAUGAAAUAGCAGGGGUGAAAUUGACCAAAGGAUAAUGCUUUUAACAGUAUUCCGGCUGGACUCUAUAUAUAGAAUUGCUGUAACAUACUUUUAAUAAUAUUUGAGUUUUUUUACUAUUAAGUUUAUAAUUUUGAAGGAAAAAUUAUAGAAUUUAGUUAAAUAAUGGUUCCCUAGAGUUUUGUAGGUGAUUGAUAGAAUAACAUAAUUUAAGAAAUAAAAUUGAUCAAAUAAUAAAUUUAAUGGUGAAAAACUUAAUAGCACCAAAUACUUGUACUAUUAAAAGUAUCCAAAUUGGACUCUAUACAUAAAAUUGUUGUAAAAUACGUUUAAUAGUAUUUGAAUUCUUUUACUAUUAAAUUUAUAAUCUUUGGAUGAAAAAUUAUAGAGUUGUGAUUACAGUGGUCUCUUAAGAUUUAGAAGGCGGUUGUUAAAAUAAUUAACAUGAUCUAAAGAGUAAACUUGAUCAAAAGAUAAAUUUAAUGGUGAAAAACUUAAUAGCACCGAGUGCUUAGUGCUAUUAAAAAUAUGGGUCAAAUGCAUACAGCUCCCUGCAAACAUAGCCAAUUGCGAAAAUAUCCCUACAAAACGGAAACUCCAUAAGUUGUCCCUGCAAAAGUCUUAAGUUAUGCAGAUAUGUCCCUCCGGUUAACAUCCGUUAGUGAUCUAUUUAUUUUUUAACAGUGGAUUCGUGAAAUGACCAUUUUACCCUCACAAAUAUAUCCCUCCAAAAGUUUUCCUCUUCCCUUCUCUUUCUCUUCCUCUUCGGAUCAUCGAAGCGGACGACGGCGGCGGCGGCGCGGGGUCGGGUUCGCCGGCGACGAAGAAGAGGGAAGAACGCCGGGGCACCGGAGCUCUCUACCCGGAGAUCGUCGCCCUCAAUGCCGUCCUCUCCCUCGUUGGCCUCCUCGGCCACGACAUCGCCGACAUCGCCGUCGACGUCGUCUCCCUCCUCACCGACCUCACCGNAUAUAUAUAUAUAUAUAUAUAAUUGAGUUAGAAUACUUUUAAAAGCACCAACUCCUUGGUUCUUCUAAGUUUCUAGCUCUUGGAUUUACUCCUUAAUUACUAAUACCCCUUGAAUCAAACACUAUUUUACUUACCACCACCUACCACCAUCAUCUCAACCCUGCAUCUCUUCAUCCAAUGGUUAAAAACUCAAAAGUAUCACCCCCUUGAUGCUUUUGAGAGUAUUCUAGCUUAACUUUAUAUAUAGAGUUGAGCUAGAAUGCUAUUGAUAGUAAACGGGCUCCGUUGCCACACAUUUAUUUUCGAUGAUGGAGCCUUUGAAUUGACGAUCAGCACCGUUUAACAUGAUUUAUACCACAUGAAGUGUUUAGAAAUCAAAUUUCAUAUAUUUUCGAUAUUGUUCUCUUAUCCAUCGAGUGGACACAAAAAACGAACGGCUGAAAAUAAAUAUUCUUUAAAAAAUGAUGAUAGGAGUCUUGUAAUCAAGAUCAAGAGUAUUGAUCUUGUUUUAAAUAGUUUAAAUAAUUUUCUAACAAAAAUUCAAUUGAUUUGGAUAUCUUUACGCCGUUAAACGAGAAAACGCAUCAUAUCAACUAUUAAAAUUAUAAAUUUUAAAAUCCUUUGAUUAUUAGGCAAAUGAUGUCUAAAAGAUUUGAAAUUUGAUUCGUAAACACUUCAAGUGGUAUAGAUCAUGUUCAACGGUGCCGAUUGUCGAUUUAGAGGCUCUAUCAUUGAAAACAAAUAGAUGACAACGGAACCCGUUUGUUAUCGAUAGCAUUCUAGCUCAACUCUCUCUCUCUCUCUCUCUCUCUCUCUCUCUCUCUUUUUAUAUAUAUAUAUAUAUAUAUAUAUAUAUAUCAAUCAAUCAUGUACUUCUCUAAUCAGAAUUUUAUUUAGGAAUAUUCACACACAAGUUCAUAACUGAGCAUAUCAAAGUUACCCGGUGAUGACUCAUGAAAGAGAAAGGAGAACAAGUUACAGAUGAUAACAGACACGCAAACAUUGUUUCAUACAAUCAUACUUAUCUGCACACAUCUGAACAGUAAGGUGACACAACAGUGCAUGCAUGUGGCCACCUCCUCCCCUACUCUUCUUAAUUUGCCCCUCUCCAUCUCAGUAACAUGAUGUAUACAUGUUUUAACUAUUAGAAAGGUUGGAGGCACAAAUAUAUAGAAGAGAAAUAUCUCUGAGCUUGUUGGAUCUCCGAAAGUGCACUUCUAGAGCAGCAGCAUGGAUAGCUUCAGCCUUGGCAUCAUGAACAGCAGCAGCUGCAGCAAGGGUUUUGUCACUUACCUUGUCGCCGCCUCCUCGAUCGCCAUCGCCUCCGCCUUCUUCCUCUCCAACCACCAAAGCUCACUGCUUGGAUCUCACGACCACCAACUUUCUCUUUCUUCGCGAAGCGUUCGAGUUUGGCCAGUGAGUGAUCAUCUCUUCUUCUUCUUCUUCUUCUUCUUCUUCUUCUUCUUCUUCUUUCUCUUCUUCUUCUUCUUCUUCUUCUUCUUCUUCUUCUUCUUCUUGUAAUUCAUUCUACAACCCUAUCUGAGGAGACUAUGUUACAAGCGCAAAGACCACGCACGGAUUAUAUAUAUAUAUAUGUGGGUAAACUUGUAUGUAUACAAUAUAUAUCUAUAUAUAGGAUUUGGAAUUCAACUGGAGGACGGUAGUGGCGACCGUCAUCGGGUUCUUGGGCUCGGGCUUUGGCACUGUGGGCGGCGUUGGGGGCGGCGGCAUCUUCGUUCCGAUGCUCAACCUUGUCGUUGGCUUCGACACCAAGUCCGCCGCGGCCCUCUCCAAAUGUAUGUAUGAACUUUAUUCAUGAUAGCAGUGUCAUCAUCAAUCAGCUAGUUUUCGCAUCUUAUUUUCUAUGCUGAAACUUCCGAAGUUUCUGAAAAUUUUUGAGCUAAAUAAGCAAUUCGUGAACAAUUAAUAUUACCCUAAUGAUAUAUCCUAUGAUAUGAAUCUCUGGUAAUUAUUAAAUAUUGUGUAGGUAUGAUAAUGGGGGCAUCGGCGUCGUCGGUUUGGUACAAUCUACAAGUCUCGCAUCCGACGAAGGAGGUGCCGAUCAUCGACUACAACCUGGCUUUGUUGUUUCAACCCAUGCUUAUGCUGGGGAUCACCAUUGGAGUGGAGCUCAGUGUCAUCUUUCCUUACUGGCUCAUCACAGUUCUCACCAUCAUCCUCUUCAUGGGUUAUUAGUCCAGCUUCAACUAAUUCUCUUAUUCUAAAUUUCUAUAACGAAAAACUUCAUAAACCGUCGCUAUACUAUAGCCUAUUUACAACUCACUAUCCUGUGAUUCAAAGUAUAGCACUUUGUUCUUUUGUAGUUUCUGAUUUAAUUAGGCAUUAAGAUUCUUUGUGAAUCACCUGAUGGUCAAGUAUUAUACUCUAACGCGCAAUUAGUGGUUAAUUAGUACUUACUUUGCUGCUGCUGUUUAUAGAUGAUUUUCUUGCAGAAACCAGAAAUAAAAAUUAUAGCAGAAUAAAAUGCUAUACUUUGAUCCAUAGGAUGGUAACAUAUUGUAAAUGCGCGGUAUGUGAUUGGACUUUUUUGUCUUCGCAUAAUUUACUCAAUACCUAGGAUUAGAUUUUUAAUGCAUGGUAAUUAAUUGGUACUGACUUUUUGUUAUUAUUAUUAUAUGCUAUUUGUGAGUUCAGGUACUUCCUCCAGGUCCUUCUUUAGGGGGAUUCAGAUGUGGAAGCAGGAAACCAUACUCAAGGUUGUGUGUUAGUAAUUAAUUGCCUUUUAUAUAUGCAUGUAUGUAUAUGUAUGUGUAUUAUUCAUUUCAUGUUCCUUCUUUUUUACUAUUAUAUGUUGUAUAAUUGCUACAUAUAACCAUGAAAAGUAAAUUGGCAAGAAUUAAAUAAUCGCGUAAUUAGUAACUUGUAUUAACCUUUGGUUUGUGCAGUUGGAGAGGGAAAAGCAAGAGGAGGAAAAAACAGAGAACAAUGAAAGGAAAGGUAAGUGAAUUAAACAGGUGUUGUGCACAUGACCAAUAAAAUUCAUGGUUUUCUCUUAGCUUCAGUUUUCGAUUAUGUCGAAACUAUUGCUUAAUUAUACCUAAAAGCUUAAGCCUUAAGAGAACGCCAACACUCCCUCGUUUGCGCGGACUUGAUAGACGUACGUAAUUGCUUCCGUUAAAUGAAACAAAAUUAAAUAUGACUAGGAACUCGUGGGACCGAUUUGAUCUUAGAACCUCCUAUUUUGAUAUUAUGUUAAAACAAUUGAUAUCUAAAGGCAUAAUUAAGCUAUUCGAGAAUGGUGUUUUAACUUCUUUUUUUUUUUUGUAUGUCUAUUUCGUAUCAUUCGAAGAAACUCUCUCUUUUUCCUCUGUUUUGCAAGUUUAAGCUCUUCAUCUUUUUGAAAAAUUAAUGCAUGAAAAGAUAGAUUAAUUAAUAUUGCAACUACAACAUUAUCUUCGCGUGCAACCGACUAUAUAUUGAUUUGUAUUGCCAUGUUUUGAUGAAUGCAGUGGUGAAUAUUAAACCCGAGUUCGAAGAACCACUUCUUCCUCAGCCAGCAGAGAAAUCUGGACUGGUAUAUAUGUAAAAGCUCUUUUUAAGCAAAUCUUUGGUACAAAAGAUAAAGAAGAUGUUGCAUUUAUUAAUUGCAUGAACUAAAAUUGCUUAAUUUUCUUUUCUGAAAGGAGGUUUUGUUGUUCAACAUAAAGUGGAAAGGGAUUCUUGUGCUGAUCAUUGUAUGGUGCUCCUUCUUGCUUCUGCAAAUCCUUAAGGUCUCUCUCUCUCUCUCUCUCUCUCUCUCUCUCUCUCUCUCCCCUAUCCCCUUUUGCUCGUCUUCAUUCACCUGAUAAAAUUGGUCCUCUACUAAGUAUCCGUUAGGAUCCUCAAUCUGACCGAAUUUCUACUUUGUCAGAAGAACUAUACUGAUCAACGCUAAUGAAGAUAGUUCAAUAGCCAUUUGAUUGCAGAAUCUAUGGGAUUGUAAAAGCUUGAAAAUUAGAUGACUGUAGUAGCUGGUUUUAUAUUCUUCUGGGUAACCACUUGUACGGUGUGUCACGAUGUCAUGUUAACUUUCUGAAAUCUGCUUCAAAAUGUCAUGGUCUUUUCCUUUUCUCUCGAUCCCUUCUCGGAAAAUUCAAACACUUGGUAGGGAUGUGGGAUGGAUAGUCGUUUGAAGGCCUGUUAAUAUNGAAAUGUGAAUCAACUAGUAUUCGAACUUAGGUCUCGGGUACCAACCACCAAGCCUUUUGUCAUUUGCUCUAGGGACGGUCGGUGAGCUUCUAUACUUUUAAAAGUAUCGAGUUAUUGAUACUUGAAUACUGUUAUACUUACAAACACUUGUUUAAUUGAGCUCCUAUGUCUUGAAUACUGUUAUACUUACAAACAAAUUUUACAACAUUAUAUAAACUAGUAUAUGUUACGGUAUUAAAUGCCUUAUAAGUCAACAAAUAAUAUUAAUAUAUCUAGCUAGGCAUUCAAAAAUUGUAAUAAUUCUCUAAGACCCUUUAAAUAUUACAUAUUAUAUUAUGUGUAUCCGACAAGUUGUUAAUUUUAGAAAUAUUUAUAUUAAAUUAUUUAGCACAACUUAUAAGAUGUACAGAUACAAUAGGUGGAAACAAUCAUUUCUCUUUCUUUUUUUUUCUUUUUUUUUUACUCUUUUUUUUUUGGGGCCCUCUGAGAGGAAUCUCAAUGAUUUUUGGUGUGGUUGCAGAAUUGGUCAGAAAAUUGUAGCAGCUUCUUUUGGGUGGUCAACAUUUUGCAGGUAAGCUAAAUCCAAAACUCUAAAUUGGAUAAAUUAUUAAUGAAUUAUCUCCGUACACAUUAAUCAAUUAACCAACUACUACAUAAUAUUGAUGUUUAAGUUUUUUAAAAAUAACUGUUAUUUUAAAUCUUUUGACGAAAUGUAUUUAGUUUUUUUUUAAUCAUUAUAUCUUUUUCAUUAUAAAAAGUACUUUUUUUUACUUUUAUUAAAGAAAAUUGAAGUAAAUAAGUCAUUUAUAUAUGAAGAGAUAAAAUGAUUAUUAAUUCUAUUUGUGAAGGGGUAAAAUACUCAUAAAUGGAGAUCUUGAAGAUUUAAGGUCUUUCGCAUGUUCAUUGAGCAAAAUCAAACACUGCACUGUGUAAAGUUAGAUAGAAACAUGAAAUUUUUAAAAGUUGUAUACUUAUUAAAAGUGCGCUGCUACAGAUAAGUUCUAUAUAUUUUUAUCUAAUAUUUAAUUUUGUGGCCCGUGGCCGGGUUUGUAGUUUCCAGUAGCGCUAAGUGUGUUCGUGUGGGAGGCGGUAAAGCUAUGGAGGGAGAGCCGGGAGCGGCGGAUGUGCGGGAAUUCAGAGUGCGUGUGCGAGGCGUCCAUCGAGUGGACGGGACCGCAGCUCCUCUUCUGCGCCCUCUGUGGCUUGCUAGGAGGGACCGUCGGCGGACUCCUCGGCUCCGGUGGCGGUUUCAUCCUCGGUCCCCUUCUCCUUGAGAUUGGUGUAAUCCCACAGGUAAAAAUUUGUUUCAUACAAAUAGUUUCUCUACUUCCGUGGUAUUGUGAUUUGUUAUUUGAACUUUUUACUUAAAUAAUUUACUCUAUAAUUAUUUCAUAUUUUUAGUUCAUAAUCGAAUGUCAAUUAAAUCAUGUACAAUAGUACUAUUUACACAAACCUUGCCUUGCAAAAUAUUUGACUAAUCGUAGAAAGAGUGAUUUGACUAAGCUAGGAAUACAAUCGUAUAAUGUAUUAAUGUAUAUAUAUGGAGUAAGGUAAGUACGCUUUUAAAGACACAGAGCUCUCUGUGUUUUCAAAUCGUUCUCGAUAUUGAGACUUUCAAACCAAUAAUCGAUUUCGUUAUACCUGAUCUAGAGUAUUUGAAAUGUAUGGAAAAUAAAUUUCGCAAUUUUUCGAUAUCAUUUGCCUAGUGAUCGGAGGGACUCAAAAUCAACAGUUUUAAUGAUCGUAAUGAGCCGUUUGUAAGUUUAACAGUGUAGAAAUAUUAAAAUUAUAUAAAAUUUUGAUAGAAAAUUUUUUAUACUAUAUAAAAUAAGAUUAAUAUCUUUGAUCUGAAAUUUUAAUGUCAUAUCAUCACAUUUUGUGAAAUUUUUAUUUUCAGCCGUUGAUGUUGAGCCCCUUCGAUCACUAGACAAAUGAUAUAAAAAAAUUAUGAAUUUUAUUUUUUAAGGUACUUUAAAUACUCUAAAUUAAGUUUAAUGGAGCCGAUCGUCGAUUCGAAAAUUCCAACAUCGAGUCGAAAAUUUCAACAUCGAAGACGACUUUAAAGCACGGAGAACUUCGUGCUUCUAAAGGCAUAUUAGCCUUACACGGUAUGUAUGUAGAAAAGUGCAUUAAUUAGGCUUAGUUUAGAAAAUUAUUAUUGUCGUAUCUUUUUUCAAUUUUAUAUGAUAACAAAACUUAAAUCCUAACAAGAUACAUUAUAUCUAUUUUUCUGUAAAUAUUAAAUAUUGAUCUGCUCAACUUUUUAAUUUAAAUAUAUAGCAUAAUGUACACCCUUAUUUUUUUAAAAAAAAAUCAUGUUCGUUUCUUAUCACGUGGUACAAUCUCAGCUUUGGGCUUUGGCUUUUUCUAAAAGCUAAAAUCCAAGAAGCUGGUUUGUCUAUUCCCAUCAUUGAUUGGCCGUGACAGCGAACCCAGCUAAGCAUUCAUUGGUUCAUAGACAACAUGCUCUUUUUUUUUCUUCUUUUUUUUCUUUUCUUUUUUUUUCGGGGGAGACUUCAAAAAAAAACAUAGGUGGUUUCGCACUUUUUAUUUUAGUAUCAUAUGAUUUAAAGUUUAUUAAGUACCAUGUGGUUUCGCACUUUCUCAUUUUAGUACCAUAUAGUUUAAAGUGUAUCAAGUUAGUACUCUGUGAUUUAUUUUUGUAUCAAGUUAAUACCCUAUGAUUUUAUUUUUAUAUUAAGUUAGUACCAUGUGAUUUUAUUUUUUUCUUAAUGAAAUAUUAAACCACAUAAUACUAAAGUGAAAAAGUGCGAAACCACAAGGUACUAACUUGAUACGCUUUAAACCACUGGGUACUAAAGUGAGAAAAUGCAAAACCACAGGUACUAACUUGAUACACUUUAAAGCACAUGGUACUAAAAUGAGAAAGAGUAAAAUCACAAGAAGGAUAUUUGAAGUUUUUCUUUUUCUUUUUGAGUAAUGCUAGAGGUACAUCUCAUUAUGGGUGUAAGAUCUACACCUCACCCAUCCAAAAGGUAGGAUGAAAGCACUAGUCACUUGAUGUGACUAGUGGACAUCACCCCACUCAUUGGAUGGGUGAGGUGUAGAUCUUACACCCCUUGACGGGCGUACAUUUAGCAUUUUUCUUUUUUUUUAACAUACCCCUCUUAAUUAUUAAGUUCCCCUUAUUCCAAAUGUUAUAAAUGUGUCUUAGCCCAUUUUUUGUCAGAUUAAUUUUUUGAAUAAUAUAGUAUCAGAAUCAGUUUUAAACUUUCCUCUAUAUAUAUAUAUAUAUAUAUAUAUAUAUAUAUAUNGUACUAACUUGAUACACUUUAAAGCACAGGAUAGUAAAAUGAGAAAGAGUAAAACCACAAGGAGGGUAUUUGAAGUUUUUCCUUUUUUUAACCUACUCCUCUUAAUUAUUAAGUUCCCCUUAUUCCAAAUGUUAUAAUUGUGUCUUAGCCCAUUUUUUGUCCGAUUAAUUUUUUGAAUAAUAUAGUAUUAGAAUCAGUUUUAACUUUCCUCUAUAUAUAUAUAUAUAUAUGAGAAAUGCUUCAAUACACUAUAAAUAUUAAAAUUUAAUUUCUUAAUUAGUAAAAGGUAUAGUUGGGAUUUACAUAAAGUAACUUGUUGAACACGUUACUGAUUUGAAUUAAUUAACAUGACAAUAUUAGAAAAAAAAUUAGUAUAUACCAAAUUUGUCAGCAUACUUUAAAUAUUAAAUAUCUUAUUUACUUUGAUAACUUACCAAAUUAGAUGAUAUCCAAUUUAUUAAGUAUCCAGCUCAAAAUAAUAUUGAAUUUAAAUUUAAUUUUUGAAAUUGGUAUUGUAAUGUAAAAUUUUAAUUUUGAAAUUUAUAUUAAACUUUUAAAUUGGAAUCUAAAUUGAACAUUUAACCUUAAAGCCAAAUUUUAAAUUUUGAUUUAAAUUGAAAUUUUGAAUUGGAACUAAAAGUUUUAUUUUAAAUUUGUCUUUUAUAUUCAAAAAAAUUGAAUUUGAUUUAUAAAGUUUUAAAUGUUGUUUUGAAUUUAAAUUUACAGUUUGGUUGUAAUUUAAAAUUCAACUAUUAUUGUAGGUAUUUAAGAGGGUCACAAUAUUCUUAGUUGGAUAAAACCGGUUUCGUGGACCAAACUAUUUUACAAAGACUAAAAGUCAGGCUCAAAAAUAACGGAUAGGCUAAAUCCUUUCAAUAAUGCAUCAUUUUAUAUUUUGAAUUUGAAUAUGAUUCAUUAGUAAAGAAAAUCAAAUUUAGUAAAGGUAAUUAUGCAAAGAUGGAAUAUUAAAAGAGAAAGAUGGAAUAUUCUGUAUUUACAAUGAUGGUAUAUUAUGAUGAUGAGAAUUUACGAAAAUACCCUCAGUGCAACUCCAUGUAAAGAGGAAGUUUUUGCCUUCGGUAGGGGGGGUGAUCGGUACCGGUGACAACAAAAGCCGGUCACCCCUUUAUAAAAGAUGCAUCACUACAGUCCAUUUUAAAAAAUUUAAGCCGGUCACCCCUUUAUAAAAGAUGCAUCACUACUGUGCAUUUUAAAAAAUUUAAGGGCUAAGAUUUAUUUGGUGUAUAGGUGCAUUGCUAUAUAUAUAUAUAUAUAUAUAUAUAGAGUUGAGCUAGAAUACUAUCGGUAGUAAACGAGUCGUUUUACUACCGAUUUGUUUUCGAUGAUAGAGCUUCCAAAUUGACGAUCGGCUCCGUUAAAUAUGAUCUAAAUCAUUUAAACUAUCUUGAAAUCAAAUUUCACGCACUUUCGAUAUUAUUCUUUUAUCCAUCAAGUGAACAGAAAAAUGAAUACUCUUUAAAAAAUGAUAAUAGGAGUCUUGUAAUCAAGAUCAAGAGUAUAGAUCUUGUUUUAAAUAGUUUAAAGAAUUUUCUAACAAAAAUUCAAUUGAUUUGGAUAUCUUUACGCCGUUAAACGAGAAAACGCCUCUUGUCGACCAUUAAAAUUGCAAAUUUUGAAACCCUUUGAUCAUUAGGCAAAUAAUGUCGAAAAGAUUUGAAAUUUGAUUUCUAAAUACUUCAAGUGGUAUAGAUCAUAUUCAACGGAACCGAUCGUCAAUUUGGAAGUUCUAUCAUCGAAAACAAAUCGGUAGUAAAACGACUCGUUUACUACAGAUAGUAUUGUAGCUCAACUCUAUAUUUGUAAAAGUACCAAGCACUUGGUGCUUGUGAAUUUUUUACCAUUAGAUAUGCACCUUUGAUCAUUUUCACCCGUUAGAUUAUACUAUUCAACCAACUAACCACUCAACCCUAAGGGGGCCACAUCAUUCUAACUGUACAUUCCUUAAUCCAAGGGUCAAAAACUUACAAGCACCAAUGACUUGAUACUUUUAAAAAGGUAGGAGCUCAAUUCUAUAUAUAUAUAUAUAUAUGUUCUUGUGUGUGUGUGUGUGUGAAUUUUUUAAUUCUGUAUCUGCAAUUAUAUUUUGUGUUGACACCUAACAAAUAUAUACUUCAUGUUUUCAUCCUUAGUUACGGGCAUCAGUAACUCAUACACAUGUUUAUUAAUUGAUAUUUGGUUUCCUAAGCUUAACUUAUUUUUCUCCCUGAUUGUACUGCAGGUGGCAAGUGCUACGGCAACAUUUGUGAUGAUGUUCUCCGCCUCACUCUCCGUCUUCGAAUUCUACUUCCUCAGGAGAUUUCCCAUUCCUUACGGUACAUACGACAUUGUGAAGUAACCGUAUAUACAUGCGUGCGGUGUUUUAAUAUUUUAUAUUCAACAUACGAGCACGCGAAUAAGCAGAAUAUAUAUCCAAAUUGUUUGCAGCGCUUUAUCUAAUCGCGGUGUCGGUGUUGGCCGGCUUCUGGGGGCAGUUCAUUGUGAGAAAGCUGGUGAAGUGGCUGGGGAGGGCGUCGAUCAUCGUCUUCAUCCUCUCCUCCGUCAUCUUCGCGAGCGCUCUAAUGAUGGGUACGUUCAACAAAAUUACUCUCCCACCUAUUAUUAGUUAAAAUAAAAUACGACAAAGUCAUUCUCCAUCUGCUUAAGCUUUCUCUUUUACGAAAACAUAGCUGUUUGGCGUGGUAACAUAUGUAUAGAAUGAGGCCAAAAAUGGCUUCUGUACAUUUUAUAUUUUACACUACAGGGCACAUCUCGCCUUGAGAACUCAAGUUGCUAGAGAACGGUAGUUUGGUUUUUAAGACUUAUUUGCUGUUCAAUAUCUCAAAAGCUUUGUCGAGUAAUUUAAAUUCGCGUUUGUUAUACGUAAACGGGCUUCUAAUCUUCUGCUAAUCAUUUUUUUUUUCUUUUCCUUUUUUAAUUCAGGUGUUGUGGGCACUGAAAAGACGAUCUCCAUGAUCAAGAAGCAUGAGUACAUGGGAUUUCUCAACUUUUGUGAGAAAUGAAGGGAAAGGGAAAAAAAAAGAAAAGAAAUAGUAGUUAAUUAUCAAUGAAAGAAUGUGUAGGUCAAUACCUAAUUGACCUGACCUCUUCUUCUAUUCUAGCAAUAAUAUCUUGUAUGCAUGUGUUAGCUCCUCGCUAACCUGCAAAAUAGUUGCUCUUUACUCUACUAUUGCGAUUAUAAAACGAGUGAUUUGUUUCUACACCGAUGGUGCAUUUAUAAUAAAAAGUUACAAUUAUUUAUUUACUUUUAGCAUAAGUUUUAACAUUGUUUUUGCUUGAUGUGACUUGAAAUUGAUAAUCGAUUUUAAUUCAGGACUUCGACUAGCUGAUAGUUUCGUGGUGGGAGUGAUCAAUUUGAAAAAUAAGUUGUUGAAGAAAAAUAAAUUUCUGUGGUCGGAUCGAAUCCAAAACCCAUUAAGAAUUUUUCUUUCUCGUUUUUUUGCCCUAGAGGCGACAGAUUGUUGUUGGUUAUACUCGAAUAUUGUAUUCUCUUUUCGAUAGUAAAAUUUUCUGUUCUCACCCGUGACUUUUUUCCUGCAAAAAAUUUUUCCCGUAAAUCUAUGUGUUCUUUUUUAUUUCUACUUGUGGUUUGAUUAUUUUGUAUUCUCUACUUCGUUUCAAUUUGUGCGUUUGUCGCAACAGUUUUGACCAUUUCUCUACUCCGAAAGCAGAGAUCCAAGAAUUCAACAAAUAAAAGUACAUAUCUUUUGUUGUGGCAAGUAUCUAAAACAAGCUUCUAACUCGAAGACAAACUGUAUAUUUGAAGUUUUGAUCGUAACAAAAAGCAGUUGCAGGAUCUCAGUUCAAAACUGCUGGUGCUUCUUCCAGCAACAUUUAUGCAGAAGCCCCGGUUCACAGCUUGGCACUACUCUGGCACACUAUAUCGAACAUAUAAUAAUAAAAUUAAAUAGUAAAAUAUAAAUGAGUUGCGUAAACCAUCAUCCCUAAACUGCAAGAGGAAUUUGCAAAAGAAUACAAACAAAGAAGGUAAUUGCUUUUGGAGGACAAGCUCAUAAAUCAAAUCCCACAUUUGAGGAGGCGCACAUUACAUACACCAUGCAGUGAAAGCCUUCUUCAGGGAGGCCGCCGCCGCAAAGUGAACAAAUUUACAUCCCACACCUCAACUUCAGCCAACAAUCUCAUGGAUAUGUACACUGGAAAAAACAAAUCUACUUGGCACAUUUUCUUUUUACAUUUUGGGGAAUUCUCAAACAUUGACGCCUCUUGUUAUGUUAUGACAAUGACGACGACCAAGUUUUGGUUAACCGAUGCUCAAUCGCCUUUUGUACUUGCUUUGAACCAGGCUUAAGAGGAAGUCCGUGAAUAUGUGUUCGUACCCCGGCAUUUUACCAUAUCCUGCAUUAGGGACAGAGAGAAGCAUCAUCAGAUAAAAGAGGUUGGGGUUUGGACAAACAAAACAAAGGCUAGUCUUCUUCUUCUUCUAUGUAAAUUGUUUCUUCUUUCACUGAAACCAUGUUAGAUAAUUCUCAAGAAGCUCGUCUGCUGAUAGUACAUUUUGUCAGAAUUGAAUUUGCUUUCCACACUUUCUAGCAUCCUCAUCUUAAUUGUGAGGCCGCAUAAAAUAUAUCCUAAAAUUUCUAAGCUAAAAAAAUCAACAAAAAUGAACAAUCACAUCUCACCAGAGGCAGGGAAUGAUAAUCAUGUUUAAACCAUCUGGUAUUCCCAAAAGAAGAAAAAAAAAAAAAAUUCAAGCAGAGACGGAAAUAUGCAUGAAAUAAAUAACUAUUCAAAAUGAGAAACUAAUGAAUUAAUAAGUAGGUUCCACUUGCCAGGAAAGUAGUUGAUAUCAAUAACGUAGAAUCGAUCUCUUGUCCCAUGCUCUCUGAUUAUAUCUAUGUUGAAUAAUCUAAGACCCUACAUCCAUUUGAACAAAAAAAAUUAUAAAUAAGUUGUGAUCGUAUAGAUGCAUAUUGCAGAAGUACGAAUAAAAAAUAGAAAAGAAAAAAAUGAUCAUACUAGUCGACGGCGGAGCUCUCUAGCAAGCCUCUCAAGCAGUGGCCUUGGAGGAAGUUCUGUUGCAGAAUAACACAACCAAAAAAGGGUUCAAUUACACAACAAAAGAACGCUGAAGGUUAUUACUUUCCGAAGUAAAAUCGAGAGGCCAAAAAGUUGGAAAGAGAGCCAUUACCAGCAAUACAAGGAUCAAGGUCCGCAUCAUCUGCAUUGGCUGCAGCACAGGAAACCCUCGGAAACCGAAAGACACCAGCAUUGUUUAAAAGUUCACAUUUAUUAACAUCAGGAAGAGAAAACCGACGCACAACCUUUACAGCCUCCCCAACUAUAUAGACCUUAAAGAGAACACCACCUGUAUAGGCAAUAAAGUCUCAAAAUUUAAUGCGUGAUCCCACCAUUCACCAAUAUAAACAAAAUAAAAGGCUUAAUUACAAAAUUAGCCCCUUAUGUGUGAUUUGGGUUUCAAUUUCAUCCUCACAGUUUUAAUUGUGAAAAAUAGUCCCUGAAGUUUGUUCUACAUAAUGAUCAGGUUAAAUAGUUAAUCUAUCACCUAAAAUAGGUGCAGCGGCUCUUAGGCUUUGGCUUCUUAAAGUUUAAAACCCAAAGGACAAAAUCAAAACUCUUGGUAAACUUCAGAGCGUAAAUUACUCAAGUUGAAACUGAGUAAUAAAUAUGAAGCCAAACUUCACAACUAAAUUGUUACAAUUGAAACUCAAAGGGCCCAUUUGGUAUUGGGGUUCAAUAGGGGGAAAUAUUGCUUCUCCAACAUUUCACCCCCUGUUAUCUCUGUGCGGUGCGAAUUGUUACAUCAAAUAAAAAGGAUGAAAUGUAAAUCAAAAUCAAACUUUAGGGGCAAUAUUCGUAAUUGACCUAGAUUUUAAAAAAAAACAAAACAAUGUACCAUGAUUGACAAAUUCCUGAAGAACCAGAGGCGGUUCGAGCUUUGACAAGGAAGACUGAUCAUAAGCAAGAGACAGCUCAUGAGAUUUCGCACUACCGUCAACCACCAAAGGCUUGGCAACUGUAGGAAAACAAAAAGAGGUUAAUGCGUGAAGCAAGAAUUUCCUAUAGAAGAGUAGUUAAAGAUUAGUAGGAGAUACUUGAUGAAGGUUUGUACCUAAGGGUAGUGUUAGUCCGGCCUUGUUGACUGCAGCUGGUAUUGAAGAUGGAUCUUUAGUAAUAACUAAUUGGCUAGGGACACCAACUUUACCUGCAACAAUUUAAUCCCACAGCAUAAUCAAGUUCUAAAUAAAAUGUAGGUAGCCUAGUUUGAAAUUCUCAAAGUAUUGAAAGUUAAUGUACCCAUUUCAAAUUGAGCUAUAGAUCACGUAAGGUCACUGAAUUUAUACCUAAAAAGACAACCAGUUUGAGCUUCUAAUAAAGGCAAAUAAGAAUUAAUUUACAACAAUAUCAAUCUGUGAUUGCUUUUUCCAGGUUUUGGUGAUAAAUACUUUCAAAAUGUAAGAGUUAAGCUUAGAAGUUAAUGCACAAUUAGCAAUAAUUGUAGCUGGAAACAAGUUCCUUAAUAAGGGAAUUGCACACUGAAAGAAACUUGUCAAAGAGUAUUAUAAUUUGUUUAUCUCAGUUUGUUCAGACAAUGGCAAUUUGCAGAACUAAAAAAUAAUUUAUCCAAGAAGAUAGUAAAUUUACUAGAGAGUUUAUUCCAUCGUAAGUUAAAGAUAAUUUUGUAAAUUACCAUAACAAUCUGACAAAUUCAAGUCGGCUACUUCCUGAAGCAUCGAUUGUCUAUUGUGUAGAUGCUGUAUAGCAUCAGGUGGGUCAAGGACGGUCACUUCUGGAUGCUUUUCCCGAUAAUCCUUCAAGAGUUAAAAAUACAAAUGAAGGAAAAGAAAUAUAAGGACAAGAAUACAAUUCGAAAGGUGCAAACUAAAGAAACAUUAACAGAUUAGAGAACUCUAAAAUUACCCAACAGCAUGAAUCGAGAGUUAGAAAAACAAUACUUGUUUUAUUUUUUGAGUAUGCAUUUGAUACCAAAGAAACGGAAAAUGUGAUUAGCUAGUUAGACAAUUGCAUUCUGCAUCAGAUUCACUAUCUCAUUCGAAGGUUUUUGUUAAUCCUUUUCACCAUAGCAUUAAAAAGUAUGAUCAGUGGUUCAAAAAAGAACUUUUUCCUUGGACAACCAAAGGAUUUCAUUUGUAAUUUUGGGCUUUUGGAAUGAAAAAAAAUAUAUUGUUCAGUAUAGCUCUUUUGUUUACUUAAAGAGCACGUGAUAAUUGAUCGAUGGGGAGUACAACAUAUGUCUACAACCCUAUAGUAUAUACAGCCUCUAAAUCAUUGACUAGGAAUAUGAAAAAUAAUGAUUAUAAUAAUAAGGACCGAGCAUUUAGGGGUGCUAACAAGCAAAACAGGGUCUGGGAAUUGGCCAGAAAAGUGCCCAGACCGCCUUUCUUAUAAAAGACAAGCUCAGCCUUGAUCCAUAAAAGAUAAAACAAACCUAGCCACCUUAGCCCUCCUACUGUCCAAACCCAUCAAUUGAUAUAUUUCUCUGACAGCAACAAUGCUAGAGAUGUCAGAGAGAGAGAGAGCGAGCAAGCGAGAGAGAGCGAGCGAGAGAGAGAGAGAGAGAGAGAGAGAGAGAGAGAGAUUGGGGAAAGGCAUUAGCAAGGUCAAUGGGUCAAUAGUGGCCAAACAAGGUGGAAAGAUGGUAAUGGAGGAGAGAGCAUAGGGCGGGUAGCUUGCAGGGUGAGCCAAGAGAGGCGAAGACACCACGCAAGGACACUGGGAUAGCUGUAGGGUUUGUGUGGAGUUUGUGCGCACACGAAAGAUGGGUUGCAACACACAACAAUUGAGGGAAGCAGGAGAAGGUUACAGUUCCACAGCACCGCAGAGAGUCAGUGACCAAGAGUUCUCAGGUGGAGGUGCGAGGGGGAACAAACCUUAGGGUACACAAUGACAUGAGAUACAGGUAGGACUGUGGCACUGAUAAGCUACUUUAUGAGUAAUUAUCCAUUUGAAGUGGCAGUAAUAUCAUGGCAUGAGGAUAUAUGAAACAUAUUGAUAUAGUCUAGAAAUGUGCAAGAAAAGGGGCAGAUCGGGAUGUUUACUAACCUCUAGAAUUUGUUGCCAUUCUUUUCCAGUUAACUGCAGAAAACAACAAGAGAACAGAACUUAUUAGAUGAUAGUUGUUUGAUAGGCUAAACAGAUAUUACUAUGUCAAUUUUUCCUUGAUACUGACACUGAUACUGAGGGAGCACAACAAAAAAGGGGGGAAAUCCCUAAGGGAGAUAUAGAGAUCAAUGCAGCUUAUUAUCGAGUAAUGUAAUCUAUUAAAAAGGACAGCUCCCAAAUAGGGGCAACAACAUACCUUGUGCAGAACAAUAUCGAAGGGACCUUGUUCUAAAAGAGGACGGCUCUGGUCAAUAGCAACAAAUAGAAUCCCCUUCAUCCUGCACAAUAUUCAAUAAGGCACAUUUCGUCAAGCACAUAUAAGAUUUUUUUAAAAAAGGCAUCAAUAAACUCUAGUUCGCACAAAAGAAACACAAUUUAAAAUAUAUGACAGGCUUAUGAAUAAAGCCAGAGAAUCAAUUAAGAUGGAAUGAUGAAAUUAUCUAAACAGCACUGAUUACCAAAGAUUUCGAUAUAACAUCUUUAUCAUCUUAUUCAAGUAAGGUUACGUAUUUUGCACUAAAAAAGACAACAGUACGGGCAUUAACAAGAACAAAUUAAGAAAGAGGUAUCAAGAAAAGUAUUACUAGACAAUAUGUGAGAUGCUUAAAGAAUUAAGAACCUGCAAACACUUCAAUUCUUAUAACUGACUAUAAGAUAAUUCAAACAAACAUUAGAAGGAUCCAUUCCAAAUAAGUAGUCAAUACUUCUUCCCAACACAAACAUAAAUAUCCUUUGAUCUCCCUUGGAUGCACAGCCAUUUUGGACCAUGAUCAAUCAAGUGGUGACUAGUGAGGUGAAUGAAACUGUACAACUAUCCGGAAGGGGAGAAAGGAAUAUAUAUAUAUAUAGCCACCAGGGCCUGAAAAUCCCAAGAAGCACAGCACUGCCAACAGGUGUAAACAGUAAUAUUUUUACCCAUAAUUAACUGGCCAGGCUACUCCAAAAAACACGUGAAUGGUCCUAUUCUGGCAAUUCAAGACAGCUCUCAUCCCUACUAAAACCACAUAAAAACCCAAACGGCAACAAACUGAAGAUAACUUCUAUGAAAUGUAAAAUAAUAUCUCUAAAUGGACUAAAAUAACCUCUCAAAAACUUGCUUCAAAAAAAAUUAAACAAACUUUACCAAGUAACUGAAAUAUGGAAAAAAUUCGACCUAGUAAUAUGAGUAUGAACCAACAGGUAAAUAAAAAGCAGGCAAGAAGACUUUAGUAAAAGUGUAGUAAAAAAAAAGAAACCUGUAGGUCAUAAUGCACGUGAGUUCUUAUGGCAGGUUCCUGAUAACAACUUUAAUAAAAUUUCGUAGCAUCUACAAAUUACCGAGAAUUAACAAAUGAACCUAGUACAAAUGCUACAUAUUCUUUCUUCACUUGGCACGACUCAUCUGCAAUAUAACACCAAAUAGUUUACAUCAAGGACCAGAAAAUCAAUAGUUUUUUUAAGUCAGAAACCUGUCCUCAUCCUGGUGAUGUAUAUCUAGGAGAAUAUUCCAACUCAUCACCCAAAGUUCGCAUAUACAUAGAUUGAAUCCAAAGAUAAACCCAAGUGGCAAGUUGACAUAACCAAUAUACAAUACAAAUUUCCACACAGAGUCAACUAUAGAUAGAAAUAGGAGCUAUAUGCGUAAAGGAAAGGUUAAUUUAUUCACUACAAGACAUACUUUGCAAUAUAGACUCCUCACCACUCACCAGCUAACUUAUUAAACAACAAAAACCCUACCAACUGGUACCAAAAAUAACAUACCAUGAUCUUCAUAAAGAGGAGUUUAUAACUCCUAACCUAAACUUCAUCGAGUACAAUUAAUCCUUAACAAAAAAAGAUUCCACCUUUUAACAAAUAGAUUCCAAGAGAGGCAGGGCUUAUCUCGCCCAAAGAAUGAUGAGAUACUACAACCAAACAAUUAGCAUAAACAAUAUAAAAUGAAGAAGUAUUCCCCUGAUAUCUGGUAAAAACUGAUGUUAUUAAAAAAUAAAAGAAAAUAAGGGAACGAAGGAAAGAGUGAGGAGGAGGAAUCAAGUCGAUAAAGAUUGCAACUUUAUGAGGCGACAGGAAUUAAGACUAAAAAAAAAAAAAAAUCCUGUUUUUCUCUGCAAAAAAAAAGGGGAAAAGUUGCUGUUGUUGUUGUUGUUGUUGCUGUUGUGACCAACAAAAUUUGGGAAAAACACGGGAAAAGUAGCGAAGGAAAACCAUAAGCCAUUAAUUUUCCCUUCCCACACACCGUUGAUCUAUUAUGGCUACCCUAAACCGCGUAAAAAGAGGAAAAAAUUACAAGAUCGUAGAAAAGAUAAUAAAAGUGUACCAAUGAGUUUCAAAUGCAUCCUAAAGGCGAAAACAUUUCUGAAACGCCAUAGAAUUAUACCAAAAAGAAAAAAAAAAAAUAAAAAUAAAAAUAAAAAGUUACCUCGCCAACCCUUCCAGCUUCGGCUGCAAGAAGCUCUUCACCUUCUUCGAGGUCAGGGCGUAUCCGACGACGAGCUUCUGCUGCGGCGCCGGCGCCGGCGCCGGAGCCGGAGGAAAGCGAGAGGCCCUCUCCCUCUCGCUCUCCUCCUCAUUCCUGAACGCAAUCUCCCUGUUCAACCUCAUCACCACCCCCGAUCCCGGAGGAGAAAACCCUAAUUCCCGACCCUCGACCCUAACUCCGCACCGGCGAUCGAAACCCUAGAAACCGCCGCUCCUGCCCACCGAUCGGAAUGCGAGAACCCGCGCGGCGCCUCCGAUCGAAAGAAUCCGACGAAUCGCGUCACCGCAACGCGAGCUCGAAGAGAGAGAAAGAGAGAGGGGGACGCGGGAGGAGAGAGAAACGGGACGAGAGAGAGAGAGAGAGAGAGAGCGAGCGAGCGAGGCGCGGGGGAGCUAUUUGUAGCCCAGGGCCGAGAACACACUGGCCCGAAAUUACGAAAAGGCCCUCGCCGUUUUCGUUUUAUUUACUCUAAUUGCCAUUGGACCAAAAACGAAGUCCUUAUGAAAGCGAAAUGACGCUUUUGCCCCUAUUUGGGAGUUACUGUUUGAGUUCGUGCCUACAACCUAUAUCGCACACUGCUCCACGCUCUCCCAUGUUUUUUUCCAUUUUUUAAAGGCCCUAAUGGGGGACACGUGUCACCUCGGUUGGUGGACCGAAAAAGUGUUAUCCCUCAGUGGUGACAAAUUGGCCCCGGACCAGGUCCACCAAAUCAGCUGUAGACCACUCUCGGAAAACUCACCGCCUUUUUCCGGGAAGAAAAAUACUAAUUGUACACUUUGUACUUACGCCAUAAUUUAAUAUUUUAAAAAAAAUAAAAUUUAAAGUAUUAUUAAAAAGUUAAUUAGAUAACUGAGUAAAUCCUAAUUUUUAAGAAAGUAAAGUAUAAAUUUUAUAUGGUGAAUGUACAUAGAGCACUGAUUUUUAAGAAAGAUAAUUUUACAACUUUAGUUCAUUAAUAACAUGUUUUUAUAUUACUUAACAUAUUAUUUUUAUUAUCCAAUUUUUAGCUCAAGAUUGCUGGAUAUAUGGUAUGUAUUGAUUAUUUAUUUAUUCAAUUUGAGAUAUAUAUUAAUAUGAUUUUUUUUUUAGAAAUAGGUAGCACGCCACCUGCUUUGCUGAAAAUGUGAAUCAAUUAGAAUUCGAACUUGGGACAUCACAUAUCAAUUAUCAAAUUCUUUACAACUUACUUUAGAGACGGUCGAUAAUAUGAAUGAAUCUUAAUUAUUUCGCACGUGUACGCGGUUUUAAAUCGUUGAAAGGUAGAUGUAGAGGAGAUAAGCAACCCCAUCCACAGGUUGGUAGAUCCGAGUCCUACGGAUAAGCGCUAAUGCACCAAAGAAUUGAUGUACCGUUGUGUUACGCCAGUGGCGAAUCGAUUAAGCUGUUGCGGGAUUUUCUGGAAGCACUGGUCCACGUAAGCUGGUGCGCGCCAUCACCCUCCUCUGGUCCAAUUUUCGGCGCACCGGGCGCACCACGUAAUCAGCAUAUCCACCAAUUCCACUCCACUUUGCCCAGCAAUUCCCAGCUCCGCCCAUGCAUCCGGUGCACGCAAGAUUUGAAACUCUUGGCACGUGGCCCCGACGUUGCGUGUCCUUUCCGGUGUAUAAGAGCUGGGUAGGGCGUGUGGAGGACUCACACGGGAGGGGGAGGAAUCGCCGGUCCUUUUCUCCUGUUGCAAACUGUUAAUUAAUGAAACGCGGAGAGGGAAGCGCAUCGGAUGGUUCAGAUUCGGUAACUUGUUGCCUGCAACCGGUGUACCACGGCAUCCGUACACCUCACUCUAUAAAAAAGCCGUACUAUCUACAUGGAACGCACAAAUGGAGAGAGGGGGAGAGAGAGAGAGAUUGAGGAUGCGGUGUACGGGUGACGCGGUGCACAUGGCACACGAAAUUACUUUUUCGUUUUUUGAAAAAAAAUAAAUAAUUCGUUGGUAGUGGUGACAACAGUGGUGGCCACUGGCCACUCACCAAUCACCGGAGGUGUGGGAGACGAGGAAUUCUACACUGUCACAUUUGCACCACGUCAUCAAUAACAAGUCAAUCACAUUUCUUUUUUUUAAAUUAAAGUACAAUAAAAAUAUUUUUUUAUAAUUAUAAUGAAACAUAUAUACAUAAAAAAGAGAUAUUUGAUUGAUUUGUUACGCGACGUCACCAAUAUACCUCUUGCAUUCUAGAAUUUUUUUUUGUGGGAGACACGCGGGGAACCGAUCUUUUUUCAUGCACUGUAGCUUACCGGUUGAUAUUGUACCGUAUUAAUUUGGUCAACUUCACCUUUUUUUAUUUUUAAUUUUAAUUUUUUUCCUCUGCUUUUUUAGUGUUAAUUUGUACGUGUCUCUGUCAACACAGUAAAUUAUAAAUAUAUUCCUAUAAAAUUUUAUUUUUAUAUAUUGUUUUUAUAAAAAAUUUAAUAUUUUUAAAUAAAUCCCCGCCGUUAGAAUUCGUUAGAAAAUUUUAGUUAACCAUAUGUUAAAUGUUUAACUCUCAUUAAUUUAUGAGAUAGUUUGAUUUUUUUGCUCCUCUUAUAUUAUAUUGUUGUGGCUUUUAAAGAGACAUAUUUGUAUGGCAAAAUUAAUAUUUUUCUUAAGAUAUAAACAGUUUUAUAACGGUAACAAAUAGGAAGAAUAUAUUUGAAAAUAUGAGAAUUUUUAUAAGAAUAACAUAUGAAAGUUGAACUUUAUAGGAAUAUAUUUGUAAUUUAUUAUAUUUGUAAGGAUAUGAACUGAAAUCUUCGCCUUUCACAAAUUGGUCCUUCUCGCGUGAUUUAUGCCUUGUGGUCAUUAAAAGCCAUUGCAUUUUUAGGGUCAUUUAGCCCUAGUUUGAAAUUACAAUUCUGUUUUUUUAUUGGCAAAGAGGGAAACCCAAUAGAGACUAGAGAGGGACUAGAAUUUGAUUAUGUGUUCAUAUUGUCGAAGGGGCGAUAUCACAACGUCUUAUAUUCCAGGGGUCUCCAUACAUUUUUAACAAUUUGCUCUUACCAAUGUUUUUCAUUGGGUAAGAUCCACUCAACUUGUUGGAGAAUCAAAACGAAACGGAGAUAAAGGCUAAAAUCUUUGUCCUCAAAUAAACAUGGAUUAAUUAAUAACCCCUGUGAUGUGAUGGGAAUCUUAAAAAAAAAAAAAAAAAGAAAAAAGAAAAAAGAAGAGAAGCACCAAAGUAAAACAAUGUUGGAUAGCACACUAAUUAAGGGGGUAGGGUAGGGAUAAAGUUGUAAUAUUAACAAAAUUCAUGGGCAUUUUAGUAGGCCUCUCGUGCUUGAUUCGGCCUCGUAGCAUGAAGAAGAAGCAAAAAUAUUUGUGUUUCUCUAUUAAAAAUAGCCCUUGAAUUAGGUAAAAUUUAGAGAAUUUAUUUAAAUCAUAAAUUAUUUUGGUUCGAACAAUUUAAUUUAUAAAAUUUAGGUUUUGGUAUUCAAUUCUUUAACUUAUUUAACUUGAGUCAUUUGAUGGCUCAUUCGGUACAAAAUUUAAGUUGGUUGAUUACUUAUUUUAAACUAUAUAAAAACACUAAUAAAUUCUGUAAAUAUAAAUAGUAUAUUUAAAUUUUAAAAUUAAUACUGGUUUGAAUUAAAUAGUAAAUUCAAAAUUUAUAAAAGUUAGAUAAAAGAGAGUGGGAAUAAGUUCUAUACUCUUUUACUCUUGAAUUAUUUUUGGGGUUGAGAAAUAGAUCCCGUGCCAUUAUUUUUACCUCAUUUUUUUGGGUCCUACUAAAGAAAACACGCUACUAAACAAGGCCCAAAUAUGUUAGUCUAUUUUAACCAUUCAAUAAAACUAACCAAUACAAGAUAUUUAAUAAUUCAAUACAUCUCAAUUAUGAUUAAAAACUGCAGAGAAAUUUAAUACAAAAAACAACAUAAUUAUCCACUAUCUUCAAUCUUCAAGCUAUUUCUUUAUUGGCAUUAAAAAUCCUAGAAAAAAAAAAUUAUGAAGGGGCAACUGAGUUAAAUUUCUCAAAGUAGGUGCCUUAUUUUGUGAUUUUGAGGAUAAGAAUUGUGGAUUAGAUUGAGAACCCCAUGAACAAUAUAUAAUUUCCAUUCAUUCAUGGCGUACCCACUAAGCAUAAUAUUUUAGGAGUAUAAGUAUGCUCCACAUAGCAAUUUUAUAACUUAAUUGAAAUAGAUAUAUCUAAUAGCUUUAAGUAGAAGUAGGUUUUAGUCUCAUUUAAAUAAGCUGACUCCAUUUAAUUAAUUUCUUAUUCAGAUACUAAUCCCACUUUUAAGGGAUAAUUAUGAAAGGCACCGUUUUGGAGAGCAACGCUUGGAGUAUUAAAUUUCUUUUUAAAAAAGGAAAAAAAAAAAUCAGGUGAUCACACUAUAACCUCUACUUAAUGUUGUCGAGAUUAGAUCAAACUGGACCUAAUCCAACAGCAUUUUUGUGGUUGUUUAGAGUAUUUAGCAAGUGCUUGAUUGAAAGUGCUUUAUGUUGGAUUAAUAGGGUUAGCAUCCUGUCAUGUGGCAGAAGGUAAAGUUGGGCCGAAUUAUGCUCGAAAUGGCAUGAGCUCGGUCGCGAGUCAUAUUCGAAGUGGUAUGAGACUGAUUAAGCCGAGUCACAAUCGAGAUAAGUGGGUGUUGUACUUAUACACUUUAAGUGAAUUGAUUGCGUAUUUCUAAUACCUCGAGCUUUUAGAAUUAAUGAUUAGCGCCAACAAUUUGAUAAACGGCAUCAGAGCCAAAGGUCUGCACGGAUUCGAUUCUCGUAUACAGUAAAUACAUGCAAGUGUUGGAGAAAGAAUUGUUGAUUUAAUUAGCGCUAAUGAUCCGACACUUUAGAUUCUAGCAAAAAUGAAAAUAACAUGCAUUACGUGCACAUAAUCUAGGUAAUGUGAAAUAAAUAUAAAUAUUAAUUAAUCAUAGCACAUAAAUUUUUAAGACAUAAUAUUGUCCAAAAACACUUUAACUAGCAUUAUUCUUGUCACCAAUUGAUUGAAACACAUGUUUCCAUCACUAAAGUAGAGAAAAUGAAACAUGAAUAUAUGAUAAUGCAAUUUAAAAGGUGGAGAUGGUGAGGGUUCGUAAGCUCUAAACUGUUUCAUUGUCAAGUGGAUACUCAACAUUUCAUCUGCCCACAGAAUAGCUAUCCUCACUCCCAUCACCCAAGCCUUUUCCUAUCACAAUGGGAUCCAUCAUCAUCAACUAUACAUGAAUUAAAGUGUCAAAUGCAAGGCGAGUCCUUGCACUAUCCCAAUAUUGCAACUUGCUCAAUCCCUGUGCAUUUAAUUCAUUUAUAUAGUUUAUUUUCAAAACUCUGACGUACGUCGCAUUGAAUUUUAAAAUAGCCUUUUUAAAAUUCACACACAUGCAUGGCACAAGCACGAGCCAAGUCGAGGCGGGCGGGCAGGCGGCGCGCGGUUCAAUCACCCGAUUUAUUUUAUUUUAUUUUUUCUGUUUUUACGAUAAUGCUCUAUACGCCUCAAUUUACAGGUCUUUUCUAAUCAUUUUCUCUACAAUAUUUAUUAUUUAUUUUUUUUUCAAAAUUUUUCUAAAAUUGAAAUUAAACUUUCGAAUUAUUUUUUAAAAAAUAUUUUAGUAAAAUUUCAAAAAGAUUUUCCAACACGAAUUUAAUUAAUUAAAUAUAUAAAAUGCUUAUAGGCGAUCGAUCUGAAUUCAAAACUUCAACUUUUAAAUUCAAAAUCUAGAAUUAUUCCAUUGUUUUCUUUAAAAGUUUUAUUAGAGUUUAGUCGUCAGAUCUUAUAUUAGUUUAUUUGCUUAAAAAUAUUGAUUAAAGCGCAGAAUAAUUGUCGAAUCUAGUAAAAAAUUCUCAAAUUAUUCGACUAAAAUCAUUCAAAUAAUAAUAAAAAGAGUUGCCUAGCACUAAAAUUUAUUGAUUUUUUCCUUUUUUCUUUUCCUUUUUUUGUUUGUGAAUUUUUCACUCCAUCAAUAGCUGUGGACAACAAAAGUUCCUCAUUAGUAAAUUUGGCUUGUAGCUCCAAUUACUUCACGCAUAAGUCAUGAAAUUAAUAUGUAAAACAACAAUGCUUUCACACAAUCCAACAAAUAUAUUAAAUAUGGAUCCCAUGAAUAUUAAUUAACCCAUCAAUUUGAUCAAAAUUCAAUUCAAAUUAUUUAAAAUAUUUAAAUUUUAGCGAGCUAAUAGUUCAAUUAUAUAUCUUUAUAAUGGGAUAUAAAAUUCAAACCACUACAACUUUAAACCAACAUUAAACCAUCAAAUUUUAAAUUUAAAUUCAAAUUCAAAUUCAUACGGGUCGGCCCGAUAACUAUCCAUUAAUGCCACUAAUGUAAGAUAAAUAAUAAUUAGUUCUCUCAUUAGUUGCUUUCAAAUUACUUUCAUUUAUAAGAACUUUAUUCAAAAAAUAAAAGAAAAAGGAAAUAGUUGCAACCUCAUCUUCAUGAUAAAUCGUGAUCAUGGAAAUGUUAGCGUGGAAAAGAUCCUGGGGACUGGGGAGUCGCUUUCGAUUCAUGUUUUAUUUAAUUAAUGAGAAUCUAAGAGCCCUGUUCGUAUCAAAAACUGCAUAUUCUGAUCAAAUCGUAUAAAUUAUAUUAUUAACUAAACUGAUGUGAUCUACGAAACAAACUAGUAUUUUGAAAACAAACAGAAUAUUUUCUCGUCGCACUUUUCUAUCAUAGACGAACUCUAUAUAUCUGUAGUAUAAAGAUUCCAUCAUCCUCAAACACAGUUUCUGACAAACACCAACAGUUAUGGCUCGAUUUGUGUUACUGUGAGCACACAAAUAGAAAUGAAAAAUAACGACCACAAAGUAAAUAAACCACAAAACAGUAAAAUAAAAUGGAGCAUAAAGAUACUUGUGUGAAAAAUAUUUUGCAGAAAAAAGAUCACGGACAAAGAAAGUGAGAACUUCAAUAUAAAAAAAGAGUACAAUAUUGUGAAAGUACAAUAUGUUAUAUCGCGUCUAAAGCAAAAUAAGAAGGAAAUUUCUUAAUAAAUUUUUUUAUUAUCGGACUGAACCCUCUGCUACCCGCCACAAAUAUUUAUUUUUUUCUUCACAAAAAUUUUUUCAGCUUUAUCACGCCGUAAAGCUAUCGAUAAAUUAGGAAUAUAAAAAUAAAGUCGAUAAUCAAAUUUGGAGACACAUCUUUGGAUAAGAAAAUAUUAUAGAAAAUACUUAAUUCGUUUUAACAAGUGAUAUUAUAUUGUAUAUAUAUCAUAUAUCACGAGAGAGAAGUUAGUUAACUUGCUGGAUAGUACAGACUACAGAGAAGCGUAUCUGUAUAAGCUUGUGUCUCUUUUUGUCCAUAAUAUCUAAUGAACUCAAUACAUCAAAGUAAUAUAAGCCCAAUUUAUCAUGAGAAAUAGUGCUAAAGUGCUACAUUUUAGUGAUAGAAAUUGCUAGUGAAACUGCUAACUAAUUGACUCAACCAAAAAUAUGAUUAUGUGAAUAAGUAUUAAUGAAAACAAAUAAUUGUAUUCUACGAGAAAAUGAUAUUUAAUAAUUACAACUAUAAUACAGAAACAUCUUUUCAAUAUCGAUCCGAUAGCUCCAGUUCCCAACCGGUUAUUGUUCCAAAUUUUCAUCCACAGAUGCACCUUUCGAUGGAUUUUUAUUCUUGCUUGUAAUUAUGUUCACAAGCUGAAAAAGAAAUUUUAUUUUAAUUUUGUUAAUUUUCUGAAUAGAGAACAAGGAAAAGAGCCGUGCACUCAACCUCAAAUCCACAUUUUAUAUUUUGUUUGAUUUAUUUAUUUAUUUAUUUUGCACCACGGUGACAUGUUUGGAAUGUUAAUUUUUUUGUUAAGAUUCUAAUCCAAGUUAAAGAGAGCUUAAGUAGCUGAUGUGUAUGCAGUAGGUGCGAUAAAUUUGGUCAUAAUUAUUAUGCGAGCUAGUAACCUCUCAAUCAAUAACAACUUACUUUCUCAUUGGUUUUUGGAGUAAAAUCAGAAGCUCUAAACUGUAGCUUUUUUUUUUUUUGCCACAAAAUCAUAUUUCUGUCUCGUACGGGAAAUAGAAAAAAAAAAAAAAAAAGGUUAUGAUCCUCAAAACCUAAUGCUUCGAUUCAGGGCUUCAAAUACUAACGGUUGUUUAAUCGGCAUUGAAACAACACUUUUUCUAACAACACAGCACCUACGAACUCACACUUUGGGGUGUCAACGAGCCGAAUACGAGUGAGCUGGGGUGGCUCACGUUCAGCUCAUUUAAUAAACGAGUCGAACACGAACUGACUCGUUAAAAUAUUGAGCUGAAAAAUUCAGCUCGUUAAUAAACAAGCUGAAUACGAGCUGGUUCACAAGCUGGCCAACGAACAGUAACCUCAAUGAAUUAAAUUGGAUAUAUAUAAAAAAUUAAAUUUAUAAAAUCUUACUCAUUAAACUUUGAUCUAAUGGUUGAAACUUUACAUAUAAAUAAGUUUUUUUUUAUAAUUGAGCUCGCCUUUAAAUUUUUUUUUUUGACUAAAAAUCAAAUAAUAAAAAUAAAUACAUUAUAUAUAAUUAUUUGUUUAUAUAUAUAAAUGUAAAAUAUAUGUAUUCAAGCUGUUAUCGAGCCAAACACGAAUGAGCUGAACCUCGCUCGUGUUCGGCUCGUUUAUCAAAUGAGCUAAAAGUUUUAGCUCGUGUUCGGCUCGUUUACUAAACGAGCGAUUCUAUCUCGAGCUCAUUUCGAACUAAACACGAGUUGGCUCGCGAACAGCGAACUGGAUUGCCACCCCUACUCACGCCAUAUGAUGUGCCUUUCAUAAUGGGCCCAUUUUUAUUUCAGGGCCCAAAUCGAGAAGUGUCCCACCAUGUACUAUAAGCCGUAUAUGGGCUGGGCCCAUAAAAUAUGUACGACCCAAAUUGAUGAUCUGGUUCAGAGGUUGAGGCCCACAAAGCUAUCGAACCACUAGCUGGCUUCCACGUGUCCGACCACGCGUGCACGCGAGAAGAUCCGGGACGAAUGUCGCCCGCACGAAACCAAAUGAGUAAAAAUCGGCAGCUUCUGCCCCUUCACUAGCCUCACGAAGCUCCAACCCAGCUCGGACGAAUUUUCGUACAACCCAUCAUCAUCCAUCCUUCAAAUUAUUCGGUACACCUCACCUCACCUCACCGCCGUACAUUCAAAUUUAUUUAUUUUCUUGAUCAUAUUAUAUAAAUCAAUUUAGAUUAAGACCAUUAGUAUUUAUAAAUAAUGUUGACAAAAUCCUUAGCAGUUAAAGUUUAGUGAAAUAAUAUGAGAUUAAAUUCUAUAUUUAAAUUUAAUAUUAGAUAUUUAUUAAAUAAAUAUAUAAUUUUUAGAGUUGGUAAUUAUUUUACGCUAUUUUCAUGACGGGAGAUGUAAUUAAACAUUUUUUUUAAAAGUUUUUAAAAAAUUUAUUGUGAAUUUUAAAUUAAAAUUUUCGGGAAUAGGCAGCGAGUGGAAAUUACCCUAGAUACCGUCCAUAAUCACACAAAUCUGUAGCUAAUAAAUCGACGGUCAGAGCUUCGUCGGACGGUUAAGCAUACGAACGCCGUUGCAUCUCACCACUGGCAUCUUCUUCACUCCCAAUCCCUCCCACUCCUCCCCUCCUCUCUCCAUCUCUCCACCUCUCUCGCUCUCGCUCUCGCUCUCGCUCUCUCCAGGGUACGACCACCGCAGCAGGCAGUGACGGGAUCCUCUCCUUUUUUUCCUCCUCCAAACCCUAACCCUAACCCUAACCCUAGCUCUUACCAAAGAAUAGCAAAAAGAAAACGACGAUGGCCUCUCUCCACCUCGCCGGAUCACACCUCUCCCCCGCCGCCGCCGCCCUCCGCUUCUUCGGCGACCGCCGACGCCGCGGCAGCCGCCCGCUCCUCCGCGUCCGCUGCGUCGGCGGCGGCGGCGGAUCCAACGGUACCCGCUCCUUCUUCUCCUUCUUCUGGUUCUUAUGCUUCUUCGCGGUCUCGCUUCGCGUCUGUGGACAGUGUCCAUGAGAGGAUCUUGUUUGCAGGGGAGGAGCCACCGGAGUCGAUGUUCAUGAAGGAGCUGAGGAGGAGGGGUAUGACGCCGGGGUCGUCGUCGUCGUCGUCGUCGAUGUUGGAGGAGAGGGGGGCGCCGUACGCGGACGGGGAGAGCAAGGGGGCGUUGGAGGCGAAGGAACAAAGCGGCAGCGGCGGAGAAGGGAGGAGGAGAGGUGUGGCGGCGGCGGCGGCGGAGGGGAACGAGAAGGGGAUCUCGAGCCAGAGGGAGCGGUCCAUGGCGUUGAACAGUGAGGGCCUCGAGGUUCGUAGCUCCGCGCCAAUUCCCCCUAUGUUUACCUGCUCCGUUUCAUUGCGAAUUUGGUUUCGUUUCAUGAUAAUUGGCUAUUGCAGUUAUAAUAUAUGUGGACAUUGUACAAUGAUUUGCUUGCUUGACCUGUUAUAGUGUGUAUGGGCCAAUUACGCAAUCUUAAAGUAAUUCAAGCUUAGAUUGUAGACUAGAUAAAACUCUCUGCAGGGAUCAAAAGGACCUUUUUAGCCUUCUGUAAAAUUGUGAUGCUAUGAGGAGGAUUAAUUAAAUUGCAGCAGAUCAGAAUCUCCAAACCUUAGCUUCUGCUGCGGAGGUUUAGAUUCUUAUUUCAGUUUUUUCUGCUGUAGUAGAAGUUCUAGACAUUUCUAUUUGCCAAGCACGUUGCUGUAAGUGACUGUAGCGGAAAGAAGAAGUAGAAGCACAGUCAAACAGGGAUGAAAAUUCUUUUGGGCUGACUGCUUAAAGGGCAUCUGUUGAUUGGAGGCAGACAAAAUCUGGUUUUUGGUAUUGUCGUCAAAUAUCAUCUUAUCGGUCUUAGGGCUUUUUUAACCUAGCUUUUGAUUCGGUGGCUAUCACUUUCGUGCUAUUGAACAACAGGAAUAAAGUGAGAACCAGUAUCUAUUUAUAUUACCUGGCAAAUCCUUCUUUACAUUUCGCAAAUAUUAUCUCUUCUUCAGGAGUAGGGGGUGUCGUCUGUGCUCAGUGUUUUUUCUGAUGUUUGAUCACCGUAUGCAAUAUGUAUGAGAAUACCAUGACCUCUUACGGGAUCAAGUUUAAGGUGUCAAGUAUAUUAAAUUGCAACACCUAUUUGGUGUUGGUACUUAAUAUAAUGUGAUCGAAGUGACUAAGGUUGACAAGUGUCCUUGAGUUACAUUCACAAAGUUGUAUGACUUGCUUUACUUUGAAAAUUUGCUACAGCUUUUAAGGGGAUGUUUAUUCUGUUAAAACUUGCCUUAUUAUGCCAUUUGGAGCUUUAUUUUGGCAUAUUUCAAUUGAUAUAUCUUUAGUUUUUGUCUUCGAAAUCUCCUUGUAGCAUUUGGUUUAUGGUAUGAAUGUAAUAUUUCAUAUAAGCCAUUACUUGAUCAAUCUACAACACUCAUAGAUUUGAUCUGCUUCAUUCCUUACACGAAGUUACUAAGAUAGGCUGUGCAAAUUUGGAAAAUUUACCUUUUCUACAUGCAAAUUUGAAUUUGUGAAUAUAUAUAUAGAGAGAGGGUUAGGCUCCUAUGUUUUCAAAAGGAUGGAGGCCUCCAUAUUUGUAAGUUGUUUUCGAUGAUGGGACAUCCGAUUCGGCGAUCGGCUUUCUUAGGCAUGAUUUACGCUAUUAGAACUAUUUAGAAACAAAAUUUUAUAAUUUUUUACUUUGUUUGUCUUGUGAACGAGUAGCCUCAAAAUGAACGGCUGAAAAUAAAAAUCUAAAAAAAGCAGUAAUAAAAGACUAAAAUUUCAAAUCGAAAGUAUUGAUCUUACUUUUAAUAUUAAGUAGAAUUUUCUAUUGAAGUUUCAUGUAACUUGAAUUGUUUUGCACCGUUGAACUUACAAAUGUGUUACAUCGACUAUUAAAAUAGUCAUUUUUUAGAUCCUAAAUUAUGAAAUUUGAUUUCUAAAUAGUUCUAAAAGCGUAGAUCAUUCCUAACGGAGCUGAUCGUCGAAUUGGAUAUCCCAUCAUCGAAAACAACUUACAAGUACGGAGGCCUUCGUACUUUCGAAAGCGUAGGAGACGUACUAUCUCUCUCUCUCUCUCUCUCUCUCUCUAUCUCUCUCUCUCUAUAUAUAUAUGUAUGUAUGUUUCUAUGUAUGUAUGUUUGUAUGUGUAGAGAGAGAGAGCGAGCGAGGCUUGCCUCCGUGCUAUCAGGUCGUUUUCGUGCUAGGACUUCUGAAUCGACGAUCGGCUCCGUUAUAUUUGAUCUAAAGUAUUUACCUAGUGAUCAAAAGGGCCAAAAAAUCAACAAUUUUAAUGGUCGUGUUGAGUUGUUUGCAAGUUUAACGAUGUAGAAAUAUCGAAAUCAUAUGAAUUUUGACAAAUUUUUUUUUAUACCAUUGCUUUUUGUGAGAUUUUUAUUUUCAGCCGUUUAUUUUGAGCUCUUUCGAUCAUUAGGUAAAUGAUAACGAAAAAUCAUGAAAUUUAUUUUCUAAAUACUUUCAAAAACUCUAGAUCAAGUGAAACAGAGCCGAUCAUCAAUUCGGACUCAGCAUCGAAAACGACUUAAUAGCAAAGAUACUACCGUACUUCUAAAAGCACAAGCCGGACUCUCUCUCUCUCUCUCUCUGUGUGUGUGUGUGUGUGUGUGUGUGUGUGUGUGGGGGGGGGNGGCGUUGAAUUAACUAAUGGCCAUAGAGUCAGAGUAAUAAUUUUUCCUUUUCAGUCAUGAUGUAGCUGUAAAUGGAGUGUUGUUUUGGAUUCUUUAUUCACUUCUAAUUCUUCUUCGUGGUGUAGAAUUAAGAUAAUUUUCUUUUAAUUUGUGCAACUCCAUGCCAUCAUAUCCAUGUUAUAGCUAUAGCAUUUCUAUUUACAACACUGAUCUGUAUAUUUAUUUGCUCAAUUGCUAUUCUUAUUCCUAGAAUAUACUAAUGCAUCUCUUUACUUCAGGGUUUGAUCCCACGAGCAAAGCUGCUCUUAUCUAUUGGGGGGACAUUCUUUUUCGGAUUUUGGCCUUUGAUAGCAAUUACAAUUGCUUUUUUCGCAGCUCUGUACUUUGUAAGCCUUCAUUUCGUAUUCUCUACGUGUUUUAUGUGUUAGUUUAGGAAUUGAAGCGUCCAGGUGAAAAGUACAGGAACCAAGUCACAAUAAAUUUUAUAAAAUUGUUGUUUAUGUGAUUUGCAGUAUCUCGGCCCAAGCUUUGUACACGGCGGUAGCAAGAUGUCGCUGUCAUCACCGCCGUACAUUGAUCCAUCAACGCUUCUUGAAGAUGAAAAGAUAUCUCAGGUUGCUCCGCAUGUGAAAUGAAAGUUGCAUCAACAUCUAUAGACAGCUCCUCAGGUUCACACUAUCUUUAUCUCUACCUCUAAUGUUCUCCAUUCUGUUUGUUGUAAAUGUGAAUCUAGAUAUAUACUGAUUAUUUGGGGAAAUGAUAGUAAAUAUAUAUACAAUGAAUCUAAUAGAGUAACCUGUAAAUUGCUAUUUGUAUUUCCAAAUGUGUCUCUUUGCUAUGGUCUAUAUAACAGUUUGAAUAGUUGUGCUGCGUUCAUUUGUUGGUAUUGUACACUUAUCGUAAGGCACAUGAUGCAUCUGUUUAUUGAAUUUGAAAGGUACUUCAACAACUUUUAAAUUAGAAAUUGUGGGAAUGGGUCUAUUGUGUUCAUUUAUUCUUUCUUCUUGGCAACAAUAUAAGGUGGUAAAAACAAAAGAAAACAUUUGCUAUCGAGUGAUCAUUCCAAAACUUGGUUCAACAAGAUGAUGCAUGUUGGAUUCGACUAUCCUGGCAUUUCAUUUUUAAAUUUGUAUUUUUAUAAUUUUAAAUUAAUAUUAAAUAAUAUCUGGAGCAAGUGGGAGUACUGGACCGGGCCGAAUACAUGUACGAUUUCUCUGUAGGUUUAACUAUAUACUCUCUUCUUUAAAGGAAUUGGGCCUAAUACUGACAACUACUACUUUUUGUUUUUCUUAUUAGUGGCCCCUUUUUUCUUACUUGUAUUAAUUAGUUUUUAUAGUAUUUGGCCGAAAGUUCGUUGGAAAAAGAUCCCGGACUCUGGGAUAUAGGCAAAAAUGUAUAAAACUUAUCUGAGCUAUACCCCAUUUUGAUUCGACUACCUAAUAUUUAAAAGUUUUAAUUUUGCUACCUAAUCUUGUGAUUCUUUUUGAUGUGAGCCGUUUGAUGGCUUUUUCUAUUUCAGAAUUUUGGUGUGCCAUUUAUUUUAAUAGACAUAUCUAAAUUUUGCAACUAAAGAGCCAUCAAAAACACAGCAGAAUCCUGUUUGGCCUAACAAAUCUAAAUGCUUAUGUUGUUAUGUUGUUGGUGACUGAUUGGUGUUUAAGCUUAAAUUUUGACCGACAACCACUGAGCUACACUAUUAACAGCAAUAAUGAUGUUUAGUGGCUUCUAUUACAUAUAUGUAAUAUAAUAAUAUAUGGUAACCAACUAUCUAACUAAAGCAUGUAUGAUGAUGUAAUAUAGAGUGUGACAUGGGAUACAUUGCAGCAAAACAAGUAUAAUAUCUUCCUACGUGGUGUUGCAAUUAACCAGCUUUUAAGAAUUAUGCUAGACUAAGUGUAGAAUUAAAUGGUAUACGACUAUAUGAGAGAUUAUUUGAAUCACUUGGAUUGUUGGUUAUGAGGAUGACACUUUUGAGGGACUACGUAAAAAAUUAAAAAGAAAAGGAGGGGGGGGGGAGGAGAGUGGAAUCUAGAAUUUUUUUGCUAAUUUAGUUUUGUCACUAGGCAGUCACAUAAUAUUGUAUUAGUAUUUGUAAAUUCACAGUAAAAAUAAUUAUCAAAAUUAUAUUAUUUUUUUUGAAAAAGAAUUUUAUGAGGUAAUAUUCAAUAUGACACAGAGUGUAGCAGAGAGGAAUUUUCCUCAGAGUUUGCUAUUUUCAUCUUCAUAAGUUCUAAAACUUAUCCCCAGCUUAAUGAAGUGCAAAUCAAAUUAAAUUAGAGCACACCAUUACCAUUGAGAGGAUAAAAUACUGGAGUUCACUUACUCAAAAGGGAAUACUUGUUUACACUUAAUCUCACCUCACCACAAGAUAAUUAAAGGGUUUCUUAAUCUUUUCUUUCCAACUAUUUUUACUAAGGAGCUUCCUAGAAAAGAUUUGGAAAUUUACUCCAUACUUUUGCAUAUAAAGUUGAUUGUUUUGAUCUAGUCUAUUAGGUCCCUCCAAUCAGGAGGAAACACAUUAAUAUAGCUUAAAAAAUUCAUAUGAUGUGCCAAAAAUUCUCCAUAAGUGGACAAGUGUUACACAUCUAGUGGUUUGGUAUAGGAAUGACUUGGUGAAUUAAAUGCAAAAGUCUCCUAUUUUUUCGGGUCAUAUGACUAUGUGAGAGAUUGAUUCAAGGAACAUCACUAUCUAUGGUGGGGUAGGAAAGUGAUUGUUUCAAUUAAGUUAUUCCUUAAAAUUACUCGAGUAUCUCUAUUGCUUUUCACAACUAGAUCACCCAAUCUCUUCUUAAUGAAAAGAAUUAGAUCUUCAACCUCAUCACUCCUCCACAAUUAGGCCCGUUUGCAUACCUCUAAAAACGUAGCAUAGUUAAUACUACGCCGGUAGGAAAAUAAUUCUAUGAAGCGUUUGGAAAAAAAAAAAACGACGUAAUUUUUAGUGUAUAUUAUACUAUACUUCAAAAAAUAGAGUAAAUUUAUAAUCCACUUUAACCAAAGAAAAAAAAUUCCACCAUUUUGGCUCCCAAAGAUGUAUCAAUUUCUAAAUUUUAAAUUUCAACAUAAAAUUUUAAAUUUCAAAAUUUAAAAUUUUAAAAUUCAAUUUUAAUUUUGACUUUAAAUUUCAAAUUUCAAAUAUCAAAAAGUUCAAAUAUCAAAUUUCAAAAAGUUCAAACUUCAACUUUCAAAUUUCAACUUUCAAAUUUCAAAUUUCAAAUUUCUGAAAUUUCAAAAAGUUCAAUUUUCAAAUUUCAAAUUUCAAAUUUUAACUUUCAAAUUUCAACUUUCAAAUUUCAAAUUUCAAAAAGUUCAAAUUUCAACUUUCAAAUUUCAAAAAGUUCAAAUUUCAAAUUUCAAUUUUCAAAUUUCAAAUUUUAAAUUUCAAUUUUAAAUUAAAAUAUCAAAAUUUAAAUUUUUGUGCAAAUCUCAAAUUUAAUAUUUAAAAUUUUAAUUCAAAUUUCAAAUUUUUUAAAAGGAAUUUAGUAAAAAAUUAUUAUUAUAUGCCAACAUCAAAAAGAUUUGGGCAAACUUCAAAUACCCUUUGUGGUUUCACACUUUCUUACUUUAGUAUCUUGUGGUUUAAAGUGUAUUAAGUUAGCCUCUGUGGUUUCACACUUCCUCAUUUUAGUACCUUGUGGUUUAAAGUGUAUCAAGUUAAUACCCUGUGAUUUUAUUUUUCUCUUUUUAUUAUCCAUUUCACUAAUUCUUUUGUUAAAUCAGUGAUAAAGUAAAAUUAAAGGAUAAUAAAGUGAAUAUUCGAUAAAUCUAGAUAGAGUAUAUGAAGUUUUUUUGUAUAUAAUUUAAUGAAAUAUUAAUGGAGAAAAAAAAAAUCAGCGACAAAGUUAAAACUAAAUGGUAUUAAAAUAAAUAUUCGAUAAAGCUAGAUAUGAUAUUUGAAAUUUUUUGUAAUAAUUUAACGAAAUAUUAACAGAGGAGCCGACGAAAAGAGAAAAAUAAAACCACAGGGCACUAAAUUGAUGCACUUUAUACCACAGGGUACUAAAAUAAGAAAGUGUGAAACCACAUGGUACUAAAUUAAUACACUUUAAAUCAUAGGGUACUAAAGUGAAAAAGUACGAAACCAUAGGGGUGGUAUUUAAAGUUUUUCCAAAAGAUUUUGCCGAACAUGUUUACAGAUCCCUUCAGAAAAAAUCACUUUUCAUCUAAAUUAGUCAAAUGCUCGACAGCUUUUAUUCAAAAUUGAUUCUCCAAACCAAAAUCAAUUCUACAGAAAUUAUUUUUUCAAAAUCUAAACCAAACGGCCAGAGGACAUAACAUACUUGUUUUCAAACCCAUUUUAGCUCUCUUUUUAGUAAAAAAAAAAAAAAAAAAGAGUGGGGAUUUUCUAUCAACUCAAAUUCAAAAUAAAUGAUCACUUAGAAAGUUGUUGCUUCAGCUUACGCCAUACCAAUUUUUCAUAUUCCAUUUUAUUUCUCAUCAAAAGUUACACACAGAAUAGUAAAUGUANUUUUUUUUUCCUUUUGAGAUAUCUUUCCACUAGGAUACAACAAGAACAAUAACAAGAAAAGAGAAUUAAAGAGCCAUAACAGAGGAGGAUUUUUAUGUGUAGGACCCUCAAAAAGGACCCCCUCUUCAACUUCUACAACAAGGCCUGUUGAUUCCUCAGUGUGAAAAGGAGCACCAUUUUUUCCCACAGUCAAGCUUUUGGGAAGAGUGAUUGUUUGAAAUGAAGGCAAAGUGGUAGGUUUGAAAAAACUCAAAACACCUCCAAGGAAAAAGGGCAACAUAGGGUUGGGUGGGGGGAAGGAAAAGGAAUAUGAAAAGUCAAACUCCCCUUGAUAAGCCCUCAAAAAAAGAAACCAAAAAAAAAAAAAGGAGAAAUGAUUAUUCUAGCUUUAUCACCCAACCUCCCCAAUGAACAUGGUUAGUUAAUAAUCUCAACCAUGCAAAAACAAGAAAAUUGGAGAGAUGAGAGAGAGAAAAAGAAGAAAAACCCAUGUAUAUAGCAUGGUCAAUUAUCUCCACCAUGCAAAAAAAGAGUAGGGAUCAGAGGUAGCUAUGCUUGUUUUGUUUGAAGCUCCUUCACAUGAAUUGCUUGAAAGCCAUGUUCAGCUUCUUCACAAGAUCCUUCACAGUCAAAGAGAACUCCUCUUCAACCUGCAUAACAUCGAAACAUAAAGGAAUUUAAAUGCCAUGCAUACAAAUACUAUGGGGCACUAAGAAGUGCAUUUGAAUGUCCAUUUCUAACUUGCCUGGGCCAUGACGGUGAUAUCGAGCGACGAGUUAGCGAAGGGAACGACGCUCGUGUUGACGAUCGAAAGAUGCAGCCUCUCGAUCUCCGAAAGCGCUUUCACCAGCACUCCCUUGCGGUUCUCGCAAUGGAUCUUGAUUAGCACGGCUUUCUCCGAUAUCUUCGCCUCUAUCUCGGGCAGUGAUUGGCCGUGUUGGUGAUCGCCGGAGCUCUCGUCGCACGACGAACUAUCGUCGUCGGGGGAGUACCGCGACUUCUUCACGAGAACGGCGGAUUCGACCGUUCUCUUCGCAGCCUGCUCCUCAAGGGUGUCUACUUUCUCCUGCAGCUGCUUCAAAUACUUGAUGGCAUCCCCAAGAACAGAAGCCUUAUCCAUCUGCCACAAGAAGAAGAUUCAUUAACCUUCUUGGAAAACAAAAAAAAAGAAAAGAAGGAUUAUUAAAAACUCGCGAAAAAAAAACGUUACCUUCUUGAGGCCAGGAACAAUUGCAGAAAGUGCAAUGAAUCUCUGGCUGAGCUUUUCGCGGCGCUUCCGCUCGGCUAUUAUAUGUUCCUGGUUAUGAGAAGCCGGUCGAGAAUUCGCGCUCGCCUUCUUGACGCCGUGAAAACUCAUUGCCUCAUAGCUUCUCUUCAGGCCAUGAGGGACGUUAGAGAACUCCAGCUCCUCCUUCGGCUUCACGGUCGCGAGGAACUCCGAAUACAGGCUCGGCUCGUUCUUCCGCGAGACUGGCUUGCCGAACGACAGGAUGGUCGGGGACGAAGCGUCGGGCGCGGCGGCGGCGGCGGCGGCGGCGGCGGCGGAGCUGCGGUCGGCGGUCAUGCACGAGUCCCAGCUGUUGGUUUUCAGCGCCUUCUUCGGCCUCUCGGGGGGCUUCGAAUUCGCGGCGGAAGCGGAGUGGAAGGUGUUCGACACGGCGGCGGCGGCGGCGGCGGCGGUGGUGGGUGGAUGGUAGGAAUUGGGGAAUGAAUUGGUGCAGCUCUCCGAGGAGAGGGAUUGCUGCAGGUCUUGAUCAAACUCCGCGGCAAUUUGCUGUGUGGUGAAGUGAUCCAACUGGCUUGUCUCCCACUGAUGAAAGAACAUAGGAUCUUCCAUUCCCUGAUUCACAUAUACAUAAUUAGAUCCAACUUAUGAGGAUGAUGAUAUUAUGCGUGGCAUCAAUCAUGUGGAGUUUUGAAGGGGAUUAUUGAUCAGAAUUUCCUUACCAAAUCGGCGAACCACCGCGCCGCGGAUGCUUCCAUUUGUAGAUUGAUUAUUUCUCCCCUGUUUGAUGAUUUAUAUAGAUACGAAAGUAGAUCCCUGAUUGAAUAAGAAAAGUAUCAAGUUGGUGUGAGGAAUCAAAUGCUGCUGUAUAGUGGGAAAUUUAAGAUCAACCAAGAUGAAGAGGCUUUUGGGUCCCUUUUCUCCAUGUCAAAAUUGUACUAGAAAUAAAAGGGGGAAAGGAAAUAUGAGAUUUUGAAGAAAUGGAAGAGAAAUUGAGUGACAAAAUAAUAAUAAUAAUAAUAAUAAUAAUAAUAAUAAUAACUGGUCUUGUUUUCAACCAAGUUGAUGUUGGAAUAAACCCUAGGAAAUGCACAAAAUUGAGGGAUGUUACUAAGCAAAAAUAUUGGUUAAGAGAAAGGGAGAGGAGACCAACCUAUGAGAGGAGGGGGAGGUCCCUUUCCUUUUGUCAAAGUAGAAGAAAAGGAGAGUCCUCUCUCCUCUUAUAUACACAAGUGGGGAAGAGCCCUCUUCUUUGAGUGUUUGUUGGUGUUGAAGUGGAAUAUCCCCCCUCCCCCAAUCACAAUAAGAUGGAGCCUUUCCCACUUCAAAUAAUUCUUCUUUUUUUUUUGCCAACUUAGUAUCAGGAUGGAUAAUUUUUUUUUCCCAAUUAGGUGAAUAAUGCUUUCAAGAAAACGAUGAACGAUUUACUGUUCUCUAAAUUUUCUAUUAAAGCAGUGAAUCGUUUAUCCUUCUUUUGAAAAUGGUGAAUACUUCACGGCUUUUAAGAGGUUUCUAGACGGCACGAUAAAUUUUUGGUAGACAUUUCAAAUUUCAUUCACAAUCACUUUGUACGAUUGUCAAAAAAUAUUAGGCAAGGACACUUGAUAGAAGACACUUUGGUUGAUAACCACGAUUUUUUUCUGAAAACUUAAAUGAGGUACUUAAGAGAGUUCAUGCUUUAUCUAUCACGGUUUUAGACGGCGUGGGGGACAUAUCCUCCAACAAUUUGGGCUCAUGAAUUUGAAAUAUUUAUCGGAUUUAUCGUACAAAGUGAUUGUGAAUAGAAUUUAAGGUACUAACUGAAAAUUUACUGUACCAUCUUUUGUUAAUUAAGUAUGUUGCGGAAAGAAAUCUUUUAAAAGUGAUGAAUUUUUCACAACUUUUUUAAAGGCGGUGAACGGUUCACUACUUUAUUAAAACAUUUAAAUAUAGUGAAUCGUUCGCAGUCUUUUUGAAUACAAUGAACGAUUCACCAUUUUGGACAAAAUUAUCUACUGUGACGUUGAAUUGACAAAAUGAGAAUUAUUUGACUAAAUAAUUUUUUAAAAAAUAUUUAAUUAAUUAUAAAAUUUGUCAAAAUUAUUUUAAAAAAUAAUUUUAGCUGCGCUCUUUCUCUCUUCCUUGAGAAAUUCUACAUUGUUACGUUUGCAGCAUGCCAUCAAUAACAAGUCUAUCACAUUUCUGCUUUUCAAACAAAAGUACAAUGAAAAUAUUUUUUUAUAAUCGUGAUGGAACAUAUAUCUCUAAAAAAAGAUAUUUGAUUGAUUUGUUACACUACGCCACCAAUAUACUCGGUACAUUCUAGAAUUUUUUUUCUUCCUACCCUAAUUUAAGGUGUAAUAUAGGGGAAAACUCAAUAACAAUUUUUAAUUUUUUAAAAAAAUCCCUAUAAUCAAUUGCAUCCUGUACUUAUGUGAUGGGAUUCACUGAGAGGGGGCAUUUAGUAUUGAGGACUAACAUCAUAGGAUAAGAUCGCACGUAUAUAAGAAUAUAUUUUUCCGUUUUUUAAUGACAAUAUAUACGUAAAUUAUAAUCUAAUUAUUCAUCAUAAUAUGUGCAAUUUUAUGAUACUUAUGAAAAUAAAUAAAAUGUUUUCUAACAAUAUUUUUCUCACACACAUUAUAUAAUUUACUUUCAACAUAAUCUAAACAAUAUGUAAAAAUACGCAUAGACUAAAUUUGAACUAUUAACACUAUAGAUUCGAAAUGUUUUAUUUGCCAAAUCAAUAAAAAGCGGGGUCAAGAUCACCGCACAUGUCAUGUAUUAUUAGUUAGAUUUUAUUUCAUAGAAAAUAGAAUUAAAUGCAUCUGAUACUUUUUUUAUUUUUUAUUUUUAUGAGAGAGAACUUAAUUUGUUCUCUUUCUCUCUCUCUCUCUACCUAAACUAAUAGAUAUUCUAAUAAUUAGAAAUCAUAUAACUGUGAUGACAUCAUGUAGGCCUCAGCAAACCAGUUUGAGUGUUUGAGUGUUCCUAUUUUUUUAUAAGAAAAAAAAAAAAAAAAAAACUCUUAUGGUGGACACAGAGGUGCAUCAAUAAUGCUAGUAAAAUAACUUCAUUAAUUACACCCCCUCAAAAAGAAAAAAAAAAAAAUCAAACUUUUAUCCAACUGGAUACAGAGAUGAUGCCCCAGGAUAUUCUUAGAUAUAUGGAAUAGUGAUUAUGGCCUCAACACAUUUGAGUACAUCUCAUCACCCAUUAGUUUUUUGUUUUUUAUUUUUUAAUUUGGUGGGUUAUUACUUAUUCAUUCAUUUUUUAUUUCUAUUAAUGGCCUCUAGGGAAGUGUUUCUCCUUGUGAUUGGGAAACUUUUACUUACAUUUGAAGUUAGGUAAUUAAGAACUAAUCAAUUCCUAUCCAAUAAUAAUAAAUUUAAUCACUUGUCUUCUAGAAACAGGUAUUAUUAUUUUCAAAAUCUCCCUACCAUCACGUUGUUUAGCCUCUGUAAACGUUUAUUAUAUGCAACAAUUUUUCGGCAAAAAUUGCUAAGCUCUCACAGAACCUGCGUAAACUUUUCGCAAAUCAAAUAGUAACAUCAACUUAGAGAUCUUAAAGAUAAAUGAAAAUUUAUGCAACUAGCCAUCAACUUGAUUAAUGUAAGCAAUUAUUUGUUAGUACAAAGUAAUCUUUUACGCGGACAAAGUUCUGAAGCAAGAUCAUGUUUCCUCUCUGCUUUUGUGCAGCUCUAUUCUUAACACAAACCUAAUUUCUCAGAAACAAAAGCUUAUAGAUUAAGUUGAUUGUAUUCCUGGUUUAGUAGUUAAAAGAAAGGGCAAUAUUGAUAGGUAAGUAUGCAUGAUUGUAUUCUUGGUUUAGUAGUUAAAAGAAAGGGCAAUAUUGAUAGGUAAGUAUGCAUUUUUUAUUUUUAUUUUUUUUUGAGAGAGAUAGAUAGCACGCUACUCACUUCGUUUAUUUCAUUUAAAAAUAAACUGAGCUGAAAAUGUGAAUCAACUAGGAUUCGAACUUAGAACCUCGGAUACCAACUAUCAAACCUUUUGCCACUUUCUCUAGAAACGAUCGGUGAUAAGUAUGCAUGUUGGCCUUGUAAAAGUUUGCCCUAGAUUUAAUACUAAAUGUUCCAAUAUUUGUGAAAUAUAUUACUUUUUAAUAUAUAUAUAUAUAUAUAUAUAUAUAUAUAUAUAGAGAGAGAGAGAGAGAGAGAGAGAGAGAGAGAGACUACUAUACUUUUAUGAGUAUUGACUCUUUUAUACUCAUAAGUUUUUGACCCUUAGAUUUAUUUCAUUAAUCAUUUUCAUCCGUUAGAUCAUACUAUUUAAUCAACUACCCACUCAAUCCUAGAGAACCACUAUCAUUUUAAGUGGGAACCACUAUCAUCCUAACUACACAUCCCAUUAAUCAACAGUUAAAAAUCUAUGAGUAUAAGGGGGUCUAUACUCAUAAGAGUAUAGUAGCCGCAGCCUAUAUAUAUAUAUAUAGGCCAUGGCUAUUAUACUAUUAUGAGUAUUGGAGUCCUCGUACUCAUAAGUUGUUUUCAAUGAUGGAGCUUCCGAAUCGACGAUCCACUCUGUUAAAUAUGAUUUAGAGUAUUUGAAACUUCUAAAAAAUAAAUUUCGUAAAUUUUCGAAAUCAUAAUAAAGUCCAUCAAGUGGGCAUAAAAUGAAUAGUCAAAAUCGAACGAUGUUCUAAACAAGGAUGAUCAGAUCCUUCAAUUCAAGAUCGGAGUUAUUGAUCUUUUUCUAUGUAGUGAAUAGAAUUUUUUAUCAAAAAUUCAACAAAUUCCGAUUCUUUUACACCAUUAAACUAACAAGUAUCCCAUACCGGUCGUUAAAAAUUGUCAAAUUUGUGACCUCUUGAUCGUAAGGUAAAUAAUGUCGAAAAAUUAUAAAAUUUGAUUUUUAGAAGUUUUAAAUGCUGUAAAUAACGUUUAACGGUGUGGAUCGUCGAUAUAUAUAUAUAUAUAUAUAUAUAUAUAUAUAUAGAACUAGGCUGGAAUACUAUCAAUAGCAUAAAGCACUGGUAUUAUUAGAUUUUUAUCUCUUGAAUGAAAAAAUGUACGGUUAGGAUGAUGCGGGA
This 57108-nucleotide long non-coding RNA is filed under the name Ananas comosus (pineapple). RNAcentral describes it as "long non-coding RNA (ACOM_LNC019153)". Lineage: Eukaryota; Viridiplantae; Streptophyta; Magnoliopsida; Poales; Bromeliaceae. The record is from RNAcentral.